CUGUAAUUGCACCAACUGCCCCUUUAUUCUCUUUGCCACUAGAUUGCAUGGACAGACGACGUAUCUUAUUUGGGAAUGAAUUGCAUACACGCCCAUUUAAAACAGUGGCAAAAUUCUCUUCAUCGGAUAAAGAUAUGACAAGGUCAAGCACCAUAUCAUGAACCCUACAAUAUUUCACCGAACUGUCAUGAUUACCAUAAACUGGCUGAAUCAUAUUUCUAUUAACGAGUUCAUUAAANNNNNNNNNNNNNNNNNNNNNNNNNNNNNNNNNNNNNNNNNNNNNNNNNNNNNNNNNNNNNNNNNNNNNNNNNNNNNNNNNNNNNNNNNNNNNNNNNNNNUAACCCUUUACGACGAACUCUUUAACCACCUCCAUAAUUGAGAAAAAAUUCCUUAGUCCAUUAGUUACUAAGGAUAAAUUUUGACCGCUGCUAGUGAUUCAAUGAUGGAUCACUCUCUGUACCUCUCAACAGACUUUGAGUCAAGGCACACAUCAGGUGCGGUACACAGCAUGGCAUACUUUAGAUUCUACGGCUAAGGCAUAGAAGACGACCUUCGUCUAUUCUCUUUAUUCUGCCGUGGUCGGGUUUUGAGUCUUACUCAAAUUCACACCUCACAACGCAACCAAGAACUCUUUCUUCGCUGAUCUAUUUUGAACUCCUUCAAAAACUUGUCAAGGCAUGCAUUUUAUUGAAACUUUCAUUAAGCGCUUUUGAUCUAUCUCCAUAGAUCUUUGAUGCUCAACGUUCAAGUAGCGCAAUCCAGGUAUUCCUUUGAAAACUCCAUUCAAACAACCUUAUAUGCUUUACAGAGAUUCUACAUCACUUCUGAUCCACAAUAUGUCAACCACAUAUACUUAUCAGAAAUUCUAUAGUGCUCCCACUCACUUCUUUGGAAAUACAAGUUUCUCAUAAACCUUGUACAAACCCAAAAUCUUUGAUCAUCUCAUCAAAGUGUAUAUUCCAACUCCGAGAUGCUUGCACCAGUCCAUUGAAGGAUCGCUGGAGCUUGCAUACUUUUUAGUAUCUUUAGGAUCGACAAAACCUUCUGGUUGUAUCACAUACAAUGUUUGCUCAAGGAAACCGUCGAGGAAACAAUGUUUUGACAUCUUAUGUGCAAUAUUUCAUAAAUAAUGCAGCAACUACUAACAUAAUUCUAACAGACUUUUAGCAUCGCUACGAGUGAGAAAGUCUCAUCAUAGUCAACUGUUUGAUCUUGUCGGAAACAUCUUCGCGACAAGUCGAGCUUUUCUUAAUAGUGACUUAUCACCAUCAUCGUCUGUCUUCCUUUUAAAGAUCCAUCUUUACUCAAUAGUCCUAUGACCAUCAAGUAAUUCUUCCAAAGUCUACACUUUGUUUUCAUACAUGGAUCCUCUCUCGGAUUUCAUGGCCUCCAGCCAUUUGUCGGAAUCCGGGCCCACCAUUGCUUUCUUCAUAACUCGUAGGUUCACUGUUGCUCAACAACAUGACCUCCAAGACAGGGUUACCGUACCACUCUGCAGUAGUACGCGACCUUGUCAACCUACGAGGUUUGUUAGUAACUUGAUCCGAUGCUCGAUGAUCACCAUCAUCAGCUUUCACUUCAAUUGGUGUAGGCGCCACAGGAACACCUUCCUGCGCCCUGCUACACACUGGUUGAAGUGAUGGUUCAAUAACCUCAUCAAGUUCUACCACCCUCCCACUCAAUUCUUUCGAGAGAAACCUUUCCUCGAGAAAGGAUCCGUUUCUAGAAACAAACACUUUGCUUUCGGAUCUGAGAUAGGAGAUGUACCCAACUGUUUUGGAUAUCCUAUGAAGAUGCAUUUAUCCGCUUUGGGUUCGAACUUAUCAGACUGAAACUUUUUCACAUAAGUGUCGAAGCCCCAAACUUUCAAGAAACGACAGUUUAGAUUUCUCUAAACCUCAGUCUAUACUGUGUCAUCUCAACGGAAAUACGCGGUGCCCUAUUUAAAGUGAAUGCGGUUGUCUCUAAUGCAUAACCCAUAAACGAUAGUGGUAAUUCGAUAAGAGACAUCAUAGCAUGCACCAUACCAAAUAGUGCGUGGCUAUGACGUUCAGACACAUCAUCACACUAUGAUGUUCCAGGUGGCAUUAACUGCGAAAUAAUUUCCACAUUGUCUUAACUGCGUACCAAAACUCGUAACUGAGAUAUUCAUUUCUAUGAUCAUAUCGUAGACCGUUUAUCCUCUUGUUACGACGAACUUCACUCCGAAACAGAAUUGAACUUUUCAAUAUUUCAGACUUGUAAUUCAUUAAGUAAAUACUCUUGUAUCUACUCAAAUCGUCAUUGAAGUAAGAACAUAAUGAUAUCCAUUGCGUGCCUCAGCACCCAUUGGACUGCAUACAUCAUAAUGUAUCACUUCCAACAAGUUGCUGUCUUGUUUCAUCUCAAUGAAAACAAGGCCUUGCUCAUGUGGUAUGAUUUGCAUGUCACUAGUGAUUCAAAAUCAAGUGAGUAUAAAGAUCCAUCAGCAUGGAGCCUCUUCAUGCAAUUUAUACCAACAUGACUCAAGCGGCAGUGCCACAAGUAAGUGGUACUAUCAUCAUUNNNNNNNNNNGAAAUCAGGUGAGUACAAAGAUCCAUCAGCAUGGAGCCUCUUCAUGCAAUUUAUACUAACAUGACUCAAGCGGCAGUGCCACAAGUAAGUGGUACUAUCAUCAUUAACUCGUAUCUUUUGGCACCAAUAUCAUGAACAUGUGUAACACUACGAUCGAGAUUCAAUAAACCAUUGAAGGUGAUUUUUCAAGCAAAUAGAGUAACCAUUAUUCUCUUUAAAUGAAUAAUCGUAUUGCAAUANNNNNNNNNNNNNNNNNNNNNNNNNNNNNNNNNNNNNNNNNNNNNNNNNNNNNNNNNNNNNNNNNNNNNNNNNNNNNNNNNNNNNNNNNNNNNNNNNNNNGGUUUUACAGACUCAGUGUGCAAAGUUUGCUACUAUCAACUUUCAACUAAAAUUUCUCUAGGAACAUAUAAAAACAGUANNNNNNNNNNGAGGACAAUCCUCUUCAAAGUUUGCUACUAUCAACUUUCACCUAAUUUUCUCUAGGAACAUAUAAAAACAGUAGAGCUAUAGCGCAAGCUACAUCGUAAUUCGCAAAGACCAUUAGACUAUGUUCAUGACAAUUAGUUCAAUUAAUCAUAAUACUUAAGAACUCCCACUCAAAAAGUACAUCUCUCUAGUCAUUUGAGUGGUACAUGAUCCAAAUCCACUAUCUCAAGUCCGAUCAUCACGUGAGUCGAGAAUAGUUUCAGUGGUAAGCAUCUCUAUGCUAAUCAUAUCAACUAUACGAUUCAUGCUCGACCUUUCGGUCUCAUGUGUUCCGAGGCCAUGUCUGCACAUGCUAGGCUCGUCAAGCUUAACCCGAGUGUUCCGCGUGUGCAACUGUUCUGCACCCGUUGUAUGUGAAUGUUGAGUCUAUCACACCCGAUCAUCACGUGGUGUCUCGAAACGAAGAACUGUAGCAACGGUGCACAGUCGGGGAGAACACAAUUUCGUCUUGAAAUUUUAGUGAGAGAUCACCUCGUAAUGCUACCGUCGUUCUAAGCAAGAUAAGGUGCAUAAAGUAUUAACAUCACAUGCAAUUCAUAAGUGACAUGAUAUGGCCAUCAUCAUNNNNNNNNNNCCUAAGCAAGAUAAGGUGCAUAAAGGAUUAACAUCACAUGCAAUUCAUAAGUGACAUGAUAUGGCCAUCAUCAUGUGCUUCUUGAUCUUCAUCACCAAAGCACCGGCACGAUCAUCUUAUCACCGGCGUCACACCAUGAUCUCCAUCAUCAUGAUCUCCAUCAACGUGUAGCCAUCGGGGUUGUCGUGCUACUCAUGCUAUUACUACUAAAGCUACGUCCUAGCAAUAUAGUAAACGCAUCUGCAAGCACAAACGUUAGUUUAAAGACAACCCUAUGGCUCCUGCCGGUUGCCGUACCAUCGACGUGCAAGUCGAUAUUUCCUAUUACAACAUGAUCAUCUCAUACAUCCAAUAUAUCACAACAUCGUUGGCCAUUUCACAUCACAAGCAUACCCUGCAAAAACAAGUUAGACGUCCUCUAAUUGUUGUUGCAUGUUUUACGUGGUGACCAUGGGCAUUUAGUAGGAUUGCAUCUUACUUACGCAAACACCACAACGGAGAUAUAUGAAUUGCUAUUUAACCUCAUCCAAGGACCUCCUCGGUCAAAUCCGAUUCAACUAAAGUUGGAGAAACAGACACUCGCCGGUCAUCUUUGAGCAACGGAGUUACUCGUAGCGAUGAAACCAGUCUCUCGUAAGCGUACGAGUAAUGUCGGUCCGAGCCGCUUCGAUCCAACAAUACCGCGGAAUCAAGAAAAGACUAAGGAAGGCAGCAAAACACACAUCACCGCCCACAAAAACUUUUGUGUUCUACUCGAGAAUACAUCUAUGCAUGAACCUAGCUCAUGAUGCCACUGAUGGGGAACGUCGNNNNNNNNNNNNNNNNNNNNNNNNNNNNNNNNNNNNNNNNNNNNNNNNNNNNNNNNNNNNNNNNNNNNNNNNNNNCUACGAGAGGGGAUUUCAGAUCUACGUACCCUUGUAGAUCGCACAGCAUAAGCGUUAAGAAACGCGGUUGAUGUAGUGGAACGUCCUCACGUCCCUCGAUCCGCCUCGCGAACCAUCCCACGAACCGUCCCGCGAUCCGUCCCACGAUCCGCUCCGAUCUAGUGUCGAACGGACGACACCNNNNNNNNNNCGUCCCACGAACCGUCCCACGAUCCGUCCCACGAUCCGCUCCGAUCUAGUGUCGAACGGACGACACCNNNNNNNNNNUAUGGAGGUAUGUGGUCGGGCAGCCGUGAGAAAGUCGUCUCAAAUCUGCCCUAAAAGCCCCAUAUAUAUAGGAGGAGGGAGGGGGACCUUGCCUUGGGGUCCAAGGAACCCUCAAGGGGUCGGCCGAGCCAAGGGGGGGAGGACUCCCCCCCCCCAAACCGAGUUGGACUUGGUUUGGUGGGAGGAGUCCCCCUCCCUUCCCACUUCCUCCCUCUUUUUUUUCUUUUCCUUUGAUUUCCUUCUCUUGGCGCAUAGGCCCCCUUGGGGCUGUCCCACCAGCCCACUAAGGGCUGGUGUGUCUCCCCAAAGCCUAUGGGCUUCNNNNNNNNNNACCACUAUAUAUAGGAGGGAGGGAGGGGAGGAGGCAGCCGCAAAACCUGUAUGAACCCAAACGCUUUAAUCACCUCAUUAAAGCGAAUGUUCCAACUCCGAGAUGCUUGCACCAGCCCAUAGAUGGAGCGCUGGAGCUUGCACACUUUUUUAGCACCCUUAGGGUCGACAAAACCUUCUGGUUGCAUCAUAUACAACUCUUCCUUAAGGUUCNNNNNNNNNNNNNNNNNNNNNNNNNNNNNNNNNNNNNNNNNNNNNNNNNNNNNNNNNNNNNNNNNNNNNNNNNNNNNNNNNNNNNNNNNNNNNNNNNNNNGCAUAUUUCCAACAGUCUCCCACUUGCACUAGAGUCAAUAAUCUAGUUACAUUGUGAUGUAUCGAACACUCAUAGCAUUAUGGUGUUGAUCAUGUUUUGCUCGUGGAAGAGGUUUAGUCAAUGGGUCUGCAAUAUUCAGAUCCGUGUGUACUUUACAAAUAUCUAUCACUCCACUCUGGACAUGGUCCUGGAUGGAGUUGUAGCGGCGUUUGAUGUGCUUCGUCUUCCGGUGAAACCUGGGCUCCUUGGCUAUGGCAAUGGCUCCAGUGUUAUUACAGAAGAGUGUCAUUGGACCCGACGCGCUUGGAACCACUCCAAGGUCGGUGAUGAGCUCUUUCAUCCAAAUUCCUUCAUGAGCUGCUUCUGAAGCAGCUAUGUACUCCGCUUCACAUGUAGAUGCUGCCAUGACUUCUUGCUUGCUGCUGCACCAGCUCACUGCCCCACCAUUCAACACAUAUACGUAUCCGGUUUGUGACUUAGAGUCAUCCGGAUCUGUGUCGAAGUUAGCGUCGACGUAACCCUUUACGAUAUUAAGGAUAUUCUCUGUUCCAUGCGUGGAUCACUUUGGUACCUCCCUACCAAACUUAUGGCAAGGUUUAUAUCAGGUCUGGUACACAGCAUGGCAUACAUUAGAGAGCCCACGGCUGAAGCGUAGGGGACAGAACUCAUCUUCUCUCUAUCUGCUGCCGUGGUCGGCGACUGAGUCUUACUCAAUCUCAUACCUUUAAAAACUGGCAAGAACCCUUUCUUUGAGUUUUCCAUAUUGAACUUCUUCAAUAUCUUGUCAAGGUAUGUACUUUGCGAAAGACCUAUGAGGCGUCUUGAUCUAUCUCUAUAGAUCUUGAUGCCUAAUAUGUAUGCAGCUUCUCCAAGGUCCUUCAUUGAAAAACUCUUGUUCAAAUAGGCCUUUAUGCUCUCCAACAUCUCUAUAUUAUUCCCCAUCAAUAAUAUGUCAUCCACAUACAGUAUGAGGAAAGCUACAGAGCUCCCACUCACUUUCUUGUAUAGACAGGCUUCUUCGUNNNNNNNNNNNNNNNNNNNNNNNNNNNNNNNNNNNNNNNNNNNNNNNNNNNNNNNNNNNNNNNNNNNNNNNNNNNNNNNNNNNNNNNNNNNNNNNNNNNNAUUUGUUUUAAUUUUUUGUUGUCUUUGUUCAUUUCUUCUAACAUGUAACACCUGUUGGGUAACGUAGCAUAAAUUUAAAAUUUUUCUACACAUAUUCAGAUCUUCCUAUGGAGAGACCAGCAACGAGAGAGGGGUAAGAGCAUCUUCAUACCUUUGAAGAUCGCUAAGCGGAAGCGUUGCUAGAACGCGGUUGAUGGAGUCGUACUCGCAGCGAUUCCGAUCUAGUGCCGAACUACGGCACCUCCGCGCUCAACACACGUGCAGCCCGGUGACGUCUUCCGCACCUUGAUCCAGCAAGGAGGAGGGAGAGGUUGGGGAAGAACUCCAGCAGCACGACGGCGUGGUGUCGAUGGAGAGACGAGGUCUCCCGGCAGGGCUUCGCCAAGCACCGGCAGAGAGGAGGAGAAAGAAGAGCAGGGCUUCGCCGAGGGAGAGGGGAAAAGUCUAUCUCCCAAUGGCCAAAAGUGCCCGAUAUAUAUAGGGGGAGGGGAGAGGGGGUGCCACCCCUAGGGUUCCCACCCUAGGGGGUGCGGCGGCCAGAAGGGGAGGAGGGGGUGGCACACAAUCUGGUGGGCCUUAGGCCCACCUGGCUUAGGGUUUGCCCCCCCUUUCUCUCCCCUGCGCAUUGGGCUGAGUGGGGAGGCGCACCAGCCCACCUAGGGGCUGGUUACCACCCCCACUUGGCCCACCUUACCUCCCGGGGUCGUUGCCCUCCUUCGGUGGUCCCCCGGGGCCACCUCCGGUGGUCCCGGUGGUCCCGGUACGUUACCGGUGAUGCCCGAAACACUUCCGGUAUCCAAAACCAUCCGUCCUAUAUAUCAAUCUUUACCUCCGGACCAUUUCGGAGCUCCUCGUGACGUCCGGGAUCUCAUCCGGGACUCCGAACAACUUUCGGUAACCUCGUAUAACAAUUCCCUAUAACCUUAGCGUCAUCGAACCUUAAGUGUGUAGACCCUACGGGUUCGGGAGACAGGCAGACAUGACCGAGACACCUCUCUGGCCAAUAACCAUCAGCGGGGUCUGGAUACCCAUGGUGGCUCCUACUUGCUCCAUGAUGAUCUCAUCGGAUGAACCACGAUGUCAAGGAUUCAAUCAAUCCCGUAUACAAUUCCCUUUGUCUGUCGGUAUAGAACUUGCCCGAGAUUCGAUCGUCGGUAUACCUAUACCUUGUUCAAUCUCAUUACCGGUAAGUCUCUUUACUCGUUCCGUAGCACGUCAUCGUGUGACUAAAUCCUUAGUCACAUUGAGCUCAUGAUGAUGUUCUACCGAGUGGGCCCAGAGAUACCUCUCCGUCACGCGGAGUGAUAAAUCCCGAUCUCGAUUCGUACCAACCCAACAGACACUUUCAGAGAUACCCGUAGUGCACCUUUAUAGUCACCCAGUUCCGUUGUGACGUUUGAUACACCCAAAGCACUCAUACGGUAUCCGGGAGUUGCACAAUCUCACGGUCAAAGGAAAAAACACUUGACAUUAGAAAAGCUUUAGCAUACGAACAAUACGAUCUAGUGCUAUGCUUAGGAUUGGGUCUUGUCCAUCACAUCAUUCUCCCCAUGAUGUGAUCCCGUUAUCAAUGACAUCUAAUGCCCAUGACCAGGAAGCCAUGAUCAUCUAUUGACUAACGAGCUAGCCAACUAGAGGCUUGCUAGGGACACAUUGUGAUCUAUUUAUUCACACAUGUAUUACUGUUUCCUGUUAAUACAAUUAUAGCAUGAACAAUAGACGAUUAUCAUGAACAAGGAAAUAUGAUAAUAACCAUUUUAUUAUUGCCUCUAGGGCAUAUUUCCAAUAGAUUCCUGAUGGCGGAACCUUUGACUACUUCCCAAGUUGACUCCAUGUUGAAGCUUAGGCUCGUUCGGCUUCGUCCCAAUUCUUCCUCUUCUUUUUGCUGGAACAAAUCACAGCCAAUUGUUGCAUUGCAGGAGGCUAUCGCUGUUGGGAAACGUCGCAUGGGAAACAAAAUUUUUCCUACGCGCACGAAAACCUAUCAUGGUGAUGUUCAUCUACGUGAGGGAUUUCAGAUCUACGUACCCUUGUAGAUCACACAGCAGAAGCGUUAAUAAACGCGGUUGAGGUAGUGGAACGUCCUCACGUCCCUCAAUCCGCCCCGCGAACCAUCCCAUGAACCGUCCCGUGAUCCGUCCCACGAUCCGCUCCGAUCUAGUGCCGAACGGACGGCACCUCCGCGUUCAGCACACGUACAACUCGACGAUGAUCUCGGCCUUCUUGAUCCAGCAAGAGAGAUGGAGAGGUAGAUGAGUUCUCCAGCAGCGUGACGGCGCUCCGGAGGUUGGUGGUGAUCUAAUCUCAGCAGGGCUCCGCACGAGCUCUGCAGAAACGCGAUCUAGAGGAAAAACCGUGGAGGUAUGUGGUCGGGCUGCCGUGGAAAAGUUGUCUCAAAUCUGCCCUAAAACCUCCGUAUAUAUAGGGGGGGAGGGGAUGAGCCUUGCCUUAGGGCUCAAGGAGCCCCAAUGGGUUCCGCCGAUGGGGGGAAGGAGGAGUCCUCCUCCAAUCCUAGUCCAACUAGGAUUGGAAGGUGGAGUCCUUCCCUUCCUUCCCACUUCCCCUUUUUUUCUUUCUCCUUUGAUUUUCUAUCUCCCUGUGCAUCGGCCUCUCUGGGCUUGCCCACCAGCCCACUAAGGGCUGGUACGGCACCCCUAAGGCCUAUGGGCUUCCCCGGGGUGGGCUGCCCCCGGUGAACAUCCGGAACCCAUUCGUCAUUCCGAGUACAUUCCCGGUAAUUCCGAAAACCUUCCGGUAAUCAAAUGAGGUCAUCCUAUAUAUCAAUCUUCGUCUCCGGACCAUUCCAGAAACCCUCGUGACUUCCGUGAUCUCAUCCGGGACCCCUAACAACAUUCUGUAACCAACCAUAUAACUCAAAUACGCAUAAAACAACGUCGAACCUUANNNNNNNNNNNNNNNNNNNNNNNNNNNNNNNNNNNNNNNNNNNNNNNNNNNNNNNNNNNNNNNNNNNNNNNNNNNNNNNNNNNNNNNNNNNNNNNNNNNNGGACGUUCCACUACAUCAACCGCGUUCUCUAACGCUUCUGCUGUACGAUCUACAAGGGUACGUAGAUCACUCAUCCCCUCUCGUAGAUGGAUAUCACCAUGAUAGGUCUUCGUGCGCGUAGGAAAAUUUUUGUUUCCCAUGCGACGUUCCCCAUCAGUGGCAUCAUGAGCUAGGUUCAUGCAUAGAUGUCUUCUCGAGUAGAACACAAAAGGUUUUGUGGGCGUUGAUGUGCGUUUUGCUACCCUCCUUAGUCUUUUCUUGAUUCCGCGGUAUUGUUGGAUUGAAGCGGCUUGGACAGACAUUACUUGUACGCUUACGAGAGACUGGUUUCAUCGUUACGAGUAACCCCCUUUGCUCAAAGAUGACUGGCAAGUGACGGUUUCUCCAACUUUAGUUGAAUCCGAUUUGACCGAGGAGGUCCUUGGAUGAGGUUAAAUAGCAACUCAUAUAUCUCCGUUGUGGUGUUUGCGUAAGUAAGAUGCGAUCCUACUAGAUACCCUUGGUCACCACGUAAAACAUGCAACAACAAAAUUAGAGGACGUCUAACUUGUUUUUGCAGGGUAUGAUUGUGAUGUGAUAUGGCCAACGAUGUGAUGUGAUAUAUUGGAUGUAUGAGAUGAUCAUGUUGUAAUAGAAAUAUCGACUUGCAUGUCGAUGGUACGACAACCGGCAGGAGCCAUAGGGUUGUCUUUAUACUAACGUUUGUGCUUGCAGAUGCGUUUACUAUUUUGCUAGGAUGUAGCUUUAAUAGUAAUAGCAUAAGUAGCACGACAACCCCGAUGGCAACACGUUGAUGGAUGAUCAUGGUGUGGCGCCGGUGACAAGAAGAUCGUGUCGGUGCUUUGGUGAUGGAGAUCAAGAAGCACGUGAUGAUGGCCAUAUCAUGUCACUUAUGAAUUGCAUGUGAUGUUAAUCUUUUUUUGCACCUUAUUUUGCUUAGAACGACGGUAGCAUUAUGAGGUGAUCUCUCACUAAAAUUUCAAGACGAANNNNNNNNNNNNNNNNNNNNNNNNNNNNNNNNNNNNNNNNNNNNNNNNNNNNNNNNNNNNNNNNNNNNNNNNNNNNNNNNNNNNNNNNNNNNNNNNNNNNNNNNNNNNNNNNNNNNNNNNNNNNNNNNNNNNNNNNNNNNNNNNNNNNNNNNNNNNNNNNNNNNNNNNNNNNNNNNNNNNNNNNNNNNNGUUCACAUACAACGGGUGCAAAACAGUUGCACACGCGGAACACUUGGGUUAAGCUUGACGAGCCUAGCAUGUGCAGACAUGGCCUCGGAACACNNNNNNNNNNNNNNNNNNNNNNNNNNNNNNNNNNNNNNNNNNNNNNNNNNNNNNNNNNNNNNNNNNNNNNNNNNNNNNNNNNNNNNNNNNNNNNNNNNNNACAGGUUUUGUGAUGAACUUGCUCAAACUAGAUAUCCACUGUUCUGCUCAUACCACAUCUCCACUGCUCUGCUGUUAUCAGAAAACAGGACCAGUGCCUCGGACAUCCGGCCUCCUCCGAACGUCCGAGGGCCAGACGUCCGACCUGCUUCGGAAAUCCGGAAUCCUUUACCAGAGAAAUCAGAGCCAUAUAACUCGGACUCCCGGCUCCCUCCGGACGUCCGAGGGCCGGUCGUCCGACCAACUUCGGAAAUCCGGAGCUUUGCACCAGAAGAACUUGAGCCAUAUAACUCAGACUUCCGGCUCCCUCCGGACGUUCGAGGGCCAGACGCCCGUCCCCUUUCGGAAAUGUGGAAUCUUGCACCAGAGAAGUUUGAGUCGAAUAACUCAGACUUCCGGCCUUCUCCGGACGUCCGGUCCUUGUUCAACUCCACAGUGGUUCCAGAUAUAUUUAUAGCCCUCGGACGACCGACCCCUGUCGGACGUCCGACUCCUUGUGGACGCCCGGACAUCCGUGAACUACCGGAUGUCUGACCCCUGUGUGACUUAAAGUGUCCCCAACGGCUGUUUUACUCUCCCCACUAUAUAUACCCCCUCCCACUUCGUGAGAGGGUGCCCAACACAACCAUAUCCUCAUAAGAACACAUUUCUACCUCACACACAUUUGCUUACAUCAAAUCUUAGAUCCCAAGAGCAUUUGUGAGCCCCUUUGAGAGUUGUUCCAAUCAAAAGAUAGAUCGUCUCCCUCUCCUUCUCUCAACCCAAGCUAUUUGAGAUUUGAGCAAGUUUUGAGCAUUCCACGUGAUCCUGUUACUCUUGGAGGUUGGAGACUCAUAGGCGGUAGGAGUUCUUCGGAGAGGAAUCAAUCCGUGUGAUUACCCCCCGGAAAAGUUUGUGAGUGUUUGGAAGCCACCUCAAAGGCUUACCACUAGUGGUUGGGAAACGCCUUCGUGGUGUUAUCGCAAAGGGAGAAUAGGGUGAGCCUUCGUGGAGUUGGUGUGCCUUCGUGGUAACAUCCACCUCUCUAACGGUGACUAGCUUCCCUCCAAGGAAGUGAACAUCGGGAUACAUCUUCGUCUCAGUGACCUUGGUUAUCCUUAACCCUAACUCCUUACUUACGGUUUACUUGUGUUACUUGAGCAUACAUACAUUGCAUAUUGUUUGUGCUCAUUAUAUUGUGUUGGCUAUUUCUUGUACAAGAUUAAUCGUUCAAGCAUACCCUCUAUAUCCACACAUUUACACUUGCUAGCUUUUGAUAUAUCGUGUGCUAUAGUGUGAUCUAGUAUCUUGUGUCGUUCACCUACUUGUCGGGUGAUAUAGAGUCAAGUAAGUUUGUGUAACUUGCUUGUGCUUGUUAGUAACUGUAUUGUGUCCAUCUUGGUAGAUCGUGUUGUUGAUACACGUUGCAGUGCCUAUUCCAUUUAGGAUUUGUGCUUGAAAAGUAUCCUCUUAGUUUAUUUCCGCACUAGGUUUAAGCCAAAUCCAAAGAAGUUUUUAAAUAGCCUAUUCACCCCCCCUCUAGGCGUCAUCGAGGUCUUUUCAAUUGGUAUCAGAGCAAGGUCUCUCUUUAAUUAGGUUUCACGACCUAGAGAGUAUCGAUGUCGACUAUUGGAUUAGUGCACAAUGACACCUUUGACUUUGAUGGCACAAAUUAUACCCUAUGGAGAAUUCGUAUGCUUCAUCACUUUCGGGCCAUGGGCCCAAAUACUUUACGAAUUGUUCUUGUAGGGAUUGCCGACAAAAAGGAUAAUGCAUCUUCAUCUACUAAUGAAAUGUAUCUUGAUUGUGAGGCUUUCCUUGCCAUUCAUCGAACCAUAAGUCCUGAAGUGUUUAAGUCUAUCUCAACUUGCAAGUCAGCUCAUGAAGUUUGGACUAAACUUGAAGAUAUAUAUGGUAGGUCCAAUCUUGAUGAAUACGAUAUUAUGAUGAAGGAGUUGGUGCCUGAGCUCUUCACUCUUUUCGAUCAUAAAGAGUCCACCACUACUUCCAUAUAUGAUUGCUUGGACACCUGAGCAUCUUCAAUCUCACAAGGUAAUGACAUGGUGAGUGAAGAAAUAUAUGUUGAUGAAAAUGUCAUAGCCUCUAUGAACACGAGCAUAUCUAGCACCACAUGUGGUGUAAAUUAUUGUGCUGAUAGGUCAUGCAUUUCACCUAAAGAUCCCUCGACAAAUGUCUCUGGUGAUAUGUCUGCUUUCCCGUGUCCUCUUGAUCAAAAUAUCUUGUUUCUCCCUAGUUGUUCUAUGACUAAUCAUUUAGGGGAAAUCAAGAAAUAUGAAGUACCUUUGACUAAUGAAGAAUCUGAUUCACCAAAAGAAUCAUCAUCAACGCCUCGAGUUCACAUGUGCCUCAUGGCAAGAGGUAAUAAUGAGGUAUCAUCUUCCCUGUGCAAUAACGAUGAUAUUUGCGAUGAGGAUGAUGAUGAUGACUUGACUGAAAAUAUCCAUGUGAUCAGUAAACAUCUUCAUAAAGCUAAAAAUAACGCUCUUCAAAGAUUCCAAGAUGUUCUUGCUUACUUUGAAAAUUGUAAUGAUUUACUUAAUCAUGAACAAGCUAAAAGUGAACAACUUGAACAUGAACUUGAGAAGAGUCAUCAAGCAUGUAGAGACUUAAGAUCUUCAAAAGGAGAGAUUGAAGUUGCUCAUGAUAAACUUAAAAAGGAUUUUGAGGUCCUUCUCCUUGAAUGCAAGAAUCUCAAGGGAGAGCUCAUCAAAACCUCUAAGAUCUAUGAGGAGCUUCAAUCUACUCAUGAGAAGUCUCUAAUCGCUACUUACUCCUCUCAUAUUGUUGAUGAUACUUGUACAUCUAACCCUAUCUCUUUUGAAGUAUCAACAUUGAAGGAGAAUGUUGAGCUACGUGCUCAACUUAAUUUACUAACUAGCGAUUAUGGGAAAUUGGAAGAAAACCAUGUAAUGCUCACAAGCUCUCAUGCCGAUCUUCUAACAUCCCAUAAUGUGCAAAAGUUAGCUCAUGAGGCUAUCAUCACCAAGGUAACAUCAAGUGAGCCUCAUGUGGACAAUGGCACCACUUCUAAUCAAAGUACUAUAUUUCCAUGUGCUAGUCCUCGUAAUUCGUCUACUCAUAAUGUUGCUACCUCAUGUGAUGAAUUACUUUCCUUGCCUUGUUGCUCUAACAAUGAAGCUUACACUUCCUCUAGUACUUGCAUUGACACUAACCGUGCAGAAAGACCCAAGGCCCAAGACACUUCUUUGAAGAAAGACUUGGAACAGUGUCAUGAAGGGAUGUCCACACUCAACAACGUCCUGCGUGAGCAAACAUCUCCGAAUGACAAACAUGAUGUUGGAGUAAACUCAAACAAGAACAAGAGUGGCCUAGAACGAGUUAAGAAUUCGGCCAAAAUCAUUUGCUUCAAGUGCAAAGCUAAAGGGCACCAUGUUAGAUCUUGCCCUCUGAAGACGAAGUCUCAAAGUCACAAGCAACAAGGGAAGCGGCCACAAACUCAAUCACACACUCAGCUACAAGUUGAAGGAAGGCCUCUUCCCAAUAAGACCCAAGCCAACACUCCCCGAGGUGAGAAAUGAACUGGGAAGAAAACAAAGGGUAGAUGUUGCUACUUAUAUCGUGAGAAGGGUCACGUCGCUUCGUCUUGCACGAGAGGUAACUUAUCCAACCCAAUCACUGUUGAUGAUAGCUAUUCCCUUGGGAAGAAUAAGGUUGGCAAUGUGUUUACCAAGUUUGUUGCAACUCAAAAUGGUGUCAAGAAAAGAACCAUUUGGGUUGCCAAGCCUAUUGUGACUAACCUCUUAGGACCCAACAUAGUUGGGGACCAACAAGCUCAAACUUGAUAAAUAGGUGACUUUGGAGGACAUUGGAGACUUGGAUACACAAUGAAGAUUUGAGGACUCUUCAUCAUUCGUAUCAUCUCAAGCCAAGUCACUUGGAUUAUCGAGCCCAUAUCCCAUAUCCAAUGUGGCUCUUUGCGGUGACUUGUACUUAAAUUGUUUACAUUGAAAGUUGCCUGCCCCACUCCUUCUCAUGUAUAGGUUUGGUACCUAGCAUGUACUUUGACAUGUUGCGCCUACUAGUAUGAUUGUUAUAUGUUAUCUAUCAUAUGUCGGUCGUUAUGUAUGUCAUAUAGUUGUGUGUAGUCCUGAUCAUUACUUGCAUCCUAGUUGCACCGUUGUGUGGGUCUUUUGAGAUGUUAAUAGCUCAUCACAUUAAGGGGGAGUGUUUCUGCUCUACGCACACCACUAACUCAAAAUGUGUAUGUAUGUAUUGGACUCCAUCUAGUAUUCGGUGCAAGAUUAUCCAAUCAAUUCGUUUGAUGUCAAAGCCAUCCGAAGUUCAAAUUGGCAUCCACUUAUCAGCUUAGUUGGAUGAUUGAUUGCCUUGUAUGAUAAAUACAUGGAUUAUCACAUUAUGGGAGUGUGAUAUGCUUUGUGCACGUCACAUCCUCUGGUAAGAUAAAACAUCCGAUGUAUGCCACUCAGCAUCUACCACAUGGGGUUAUUCUAUAACUUUGUGGUAUGUCAUGCUCCACAUAUCUUAAUUCGCAUAAUAACCCUGUUGGUGUCUAAAUCCCUUAGAUGUGCGUGAGUAUGGCGUCCUACUACAACAAUACUCAUGGCUUAGCCACUAGAUCGUAUCUAAAAGAAGGGCAUUGUUGAUGCAUGCUUUUCGAAUUAUUUCUCCACACUAUGAUCUAACUAAUUGGGAUGUUAACGUAUGACAUCUAAACAUUAUGCUUAUGGUUGAACUCCCAUAUCACACUUGUGUGAGUAUAAAACAAUAUUUGUGCUUGUUUGGCACCUACCACCACUGAUAAUUCUAAAUGCCAUUGUGUUCUCUUACACAUGGUAUCUCUGGCUUGGUAGUGUUUUCCAUGGUCAUUUUAUUUCGGCCUUGUCUUCAUUUGACCUGCUUAACUUGCCGAGAAAUUCAUGUCUCUCUCCCGGUAAUCUCCCAUGCAUGUCUUUGAGCUCGCACUAGUUAUUUCAUAAUGUUGUGGGAGUUAUAAUCAUAUUACCUACACUUAUACAUCUACUAGGGUGAGACAUGCAUGUAAGGUUGUGCAAAAUGCAUACCUUACAUGGUUUGAUGCCUUGACCAGUUCAUGUGUUGAACUUGGGGUGCUACCAUAUGUUUAUUUGUCACCCUGAUCCAUUUUGGACGACAUGAAUGUUCUGUAAUAGAAAAUAAUGUGUUCAUUUGUCCAAAUUGUAUAUCCUUGGAUUUUGAUAGGCUUGUGUAGGCAUAUCUACUAUGUGUAGAUGCACAUGCCAUGUCUAUUGUAUCUUUGAUCCAAUAUAUGUAUAUGGUAAAUCAAACGUAUCCAUUAAAAGGUUAAGGUGUGCUUGAAAGUAAAACUUAUAUCUAUAUGCACAUAAUUGAGUGAUCUUACCCUAUAUAUAUUGUAGUUGGACUAACUACUUCGGACCCAAUAAGUUUGGGGACCAUAUUGUGCUUAAUUGGUGACAGGACUCGGCUACUUCUACGCCAUACCAAUGCUUUUCCGGUAACAAGUAUUUACUUCAUGCAUGUAUAACAUUAGAGUCAACUGUGUAGGUUGCAUCAUGGCAUGAACAUAAUACUUUUUCCACUUUGUAAUUUCCUGCAUGUCCUUGUCAAUCACAUUGAUGAAAUGCUUAGUGUUGGUGUUCUCUUAGCACUUCAUGUUCAUAUGAAUGAGACAAAUUUGUGCCAUGACCCUUGUGUCAUGUGCCUUGCUCUUAUAAGAGGAUAACUUGUGCAUGAUUCUAUGCACUCGUCGUUUGACGGUAUUUUGGACCCACACUUAUCAUAGUAAUCAUAUUAAAAGAUUUACAUCAUACCAUGUCCAAAAUAUGUUAGUUGAGUGCCCCCCCUUGGUUGCUACACAUGCGAGAAUACUCAUCAUCCAAAUCCCAGAAAUUGCCUCUGCCUUCUCUCUCUUGGUCGUCCGACGGCUAAACUCAUUCCGGACGUCCGGCCACUGUCGAUCGUCCGACGGCUAAAUCCACUCCGGACGUCCGACGCGUGUCGGACGUCCGACACAUCGGGGGCCCUAUAAAUAGUAGGGCGCGGGCUGGGCCUUUCCCUAGCCUCCACGCGCCUCCUUUUUCUCCCAACCGCCGCCACCGCCAGCACCAGGGGAGCUCGCCCACGCCGCCACCUCCGGGAUUUGGCUGAUCUCCUCCGCGGGAUCCGAUCUCCUCCGCGGGAUCCGUCUCCCCUUCCUCUCCUCUCUCGAUCUGCAGGUAUCCCCUCCGUCCCUCUCGUGUUUGGAUUCCUUUUCUCCCAAGUUCACGUGUUCGUUCAUAUGGUUUGACCGUGACCGUUCCCCAUUGGGUUUCCAACCGUGUAGGCUUUUGUUCAUCAUGCCCAAGAUUAAGCACUCCGCCCGGAAGGACAGUGCUGGCUCAUCCGCUCGUGCCCCUACUGGCACGGGGUCGGACUCCGAAGGGCAACGUCGUCCCUUCAAACGGACUUCCCGGCAUCCUCCGCCUCAACAGCUCCCCUUGUUGUCUGAUGGCUCUGACUUCGAGGAUGAGCUUGCAGCUGAGGACCGUGCCGAACAGCCCACCGUUCGGAAGUCUAUGCCAAAGCCUGGGACUCGCAGGCCCUCCUAUAUGCCACCACCUCCUCCUGAACAACCCGAAGGUGAAGCUCGUCGCAUCUCACUUGAACCUCCUGCUACUUUAGGUCGUGAAGUCAAGAACUUCACCACGGUUGCUAAGUCUUCCUACCUCACUUUUCGCCGCGACGUUGAUCAAUUCUCUGUUGUACGUGACUCUAUGGACUCACGUUUCCGCACAAACAUCCAGGCGGACAUCUUUACUAUGGUCAUUGUUCCUAAGGGUCUCUCUGUCCAUCACUUUAUUGAUCUUGAGCAUAUUCGCACGCACCCGACGAAAUACCUGGGUGCCAUUGAGCUCAUUGAGUCAUCGGGGCUUGCUUCCCCCUUUGCUUUUCGGCGCGAUUUUAACGCUGCUGCUAUUCACCAAUUUUAUGCCACAUGUUUCCUUGGUCCAAACAACAUUGUUAGCUGGAUAACCUCUGACGUUCAGUUCACAGCCUCUUAUGAUGAGUUUGUUGCCGCACUUGGUUUCCCCAACUCCGGCUUCAAAAUCCAUAAGAAUGAUCCUAACCAUGCACAUAAGCCAAUUGAGGCGUGUGGGUAUCUCCUCAAACCACUCCGUGAACUUGAUGCAGACGAACAAAUGAAGGAUCCUAACCAAGUAUCCAUCUGGCGCUCUCCCUACUUUAUUAUCUUUCAGUGUCUUAUUCGCACCAUCUUUCCCAAGAUGGGUGAUAAGGGAUACUGCAAUGGCUACUAUAUUGACAUCAUGUCACAUUUGUACGAGCACCCCAAGAGCAAAAUUAAUGUGCCUCACUUUCUAUGGCAUGAGAUUCGGCUUGCUAGUUUUCAAUACAAGCUAGCCUUCCCUCAUGCCCCCUUCAUCCAGGCUUUUAUUAACCAUGUUGCUAAAUUCACUGUUGCUGUCACUCACACGCAUCACAAGUGGGGCAUUCCCGCUCACAUGGCAGAUAACUAUGCUCCCAAGAAAACCCCACCAUCCACCUCCACUCGCCGCACUGCGUCCCGGUCAGCAACCCCUUCAUCCAGCUCAGCUCCUCCCGGUCGCUUUGCCAAAUUCAUUGGCAAGGCACAUUCGUGCUAUGAUGAAGGCCUUCUCUUUCCAGUGCGGUCAAACUCAUGAUGUGGUUUCUCGCCUCGUCUCCUCCAAGAAUGCCCUCAAGACUCGUCUGAGAGACUCGGGCGCUCUUGAUGUGAGUGACGAUGAGGCCCUUCCUGCUCCUCCUCCUUCUGACUUUGGCUUCCCAUCUGGUCCUGAGUGGGAUGAUUUUCUUGAUGAGGCUGGUGGCAGUGGUUUGCCUGAGGAUGAGGAUGAGGAUGUUGAGGAUGAUGCAUGAUGAUGAUGAUAUUGAUGAGGGUGAUAUUUGAGUAUGUGGUAGCAUUGUCGGUUUCCCCUCCUUUUUGGUCCUUGAUGCCAAAGGGGGAGAACAUUAUCUUAUCUUAGUUUCGAUUUUAGUUUCUCUCAUAAUGUAUGGUACAAUGUAUGAUGUCGAACUUAAUGAUGUGUCAUCAUGUAACGAUAUUUAUGGAUGAUGUGCUAUGCCAUCACUUAUGGAUGAUGUAUUGUUGAACUAUCAUGUGGUGAUGAGAUAUCAUGAUAUUAUCGUUGUGUCAUAUGAUGAUGAGUUUUAUGCUAUCCUAUUGAUUCAUAUGAUAUGCUAUGUAUUGCUGAACUAUUAUGGUGUUAUAUCAUGCUAUUAUCUUCUUGCACACAUUAAGGGGGAGCUCCCGCACUUACCUAUUUUACUAUGCAUAUAAUAAGGGGGAGCUUCAUAAGCAUCAUAACAAAUCUCUCUUAAGCCGCACAUGUUUAUUACUAUUUUUGAGAGCUAUAUGUAUGUUGUCAUCAACUACCAAAAAGGGGGAGAUUGAAAGUGCAGUCAUGCCCUUAAUCGUGUUUUGGUGUUGCUGACAACACACAUAUAGAUAACUAAUCACUAAUCCCUUUUAAGCUAUUGUGAAUGAUCAUGUGUUGACAAGGACAAGCUCAUGUACUAACAAGGACAAGAUCAAGAUAAGCAUUCCUGAGCACUACAUGCUUGAUUCUUGUGGAUGUUCACAUGGUGGACAAAUGAAGAUGAAUACAUAAGCUAGGCUUUCCACAUUGUGUAUGAGAGAGUUACUUGAAGACUUCAUCAUGUCUUGCUUUCAACUUGAGCCAAGAAGGAACAACAACAUCAAGCUCAAAUGAAAGGGCUAACUCAAAGGCAUGAGUCCCUUUGACGUUAGUGGUGCGGAGUGAUGAUCAGCGAAUAAAAGUAUACACUCAAGUAUGGAUCAUCGGUACCCCUUUUAUAAUUCUUGAAUCUUUAGGGAUCCCGCACUAUUAAGAGGGGAUCACAGGUUUUGUGAUGAACUUGCUCAAACUAGAUAUCCACUGUUCUGCUCAUACCACAUCUCCACUGCUCUGCUGUUAUCAGAAAACAGGACCAGUGCCUCGGUCAUCCGGCCUCCUCCGGACGUCCGAGGGUCGGACGUCCGACCUGCUUAGGAAAUCCGGAAUCCUCUACGAGAGAAAUCAGAGCCAUAUAACUCGGACUUCCGGCUCCCUCCGGACGUCCGAGGGCCGUUCGUCCGACCAGCUUCGGAAAUCCGGAGCUUUGCACCAGAAGAACUUGAGCCAUAUAACUCGGACUUCCGGCUCCCUCCGGACGUCCGAGGGCCGGACGUCCGUCCCCUUUCGGAAAUCCGGAAUCUUGCACCACAGAAGUUUGAGUCGAAUAACUAGGACUUCCGGCCUUCUCCGGACGUCCGGUCCCUGUUCAACUCCACAGUGGUUCGAGCUAUAUUUACAGCCCUCGGACGUCCGACCCCUUGUGGACGCCCGGACAUCUGUGAACUGCCGGAUGUCCUAUCCCCUGUGUGCCUUGAAGUGUCCCCAACGGCUGUUUUACUCUCCCCACUAUAUAUACCCCCUCCCACUUCGUGAGAGGGUGCCCAACACAGCCAUAUCCUCAUAAGAACACAUUUCUACCUCACACACAUUUGCUUACAUCAAAUCUUAGAUCCCAAGAGCAUUUGUGAGCCCCUUUGAGAGUUGUUCCAAUCAAAAGAUAGAUCGUCUCCCUCUCCUUCUCUCAACCCAAGAAAUUUGAGAUUUGAGCAAGUUUUGAGCAUUCCCCGUGAUCUUGUUACUCUUGGAGGUUGGAGACUCCUAGGCAGUAGGAGUUCUUCGGAGAGUAAUCAAUCCGUGUGAUUACCCCCCGGAAAAGUUUGUGAGGGUUUGGAAGCCACCUCAAAGGCUUACCACUAGUGGUUGGGAAACGCAUUCGUGGUGUUAUCUCAAAGGGAGAAUAGGGUGAGCCUUCGUGGCGUUGGUGUGCCUUCGUGGUAACAUCCACCUCUCUAACGGUGACUAGCUUCCCUCCAAGGAAGUGAACAUCGGGAUACAUCUUCGUCUCAGUGACCUUGGUUAUCCUUAACCCUAACUCCUUACUUGUGGUUUACUUGUGUUACUUGAGCAUACAUACAUUGCAUAUUGUUUGUGCUCAUUAUAUUGUGUUGGCUAUUUCUUGUACAAGAUUAAUCGUUCAAGCAUANNNNNNNNNNNNNNNNNNNNNNNNNNNNNNNNNNNNNNNNNNNNNNNNNNNNNNNNNNNNNNNNNNNNNNNNNNNNNNNNNNNNNNNNNNNNNNNNNNNNGGUUUAAAUUAGGUUUAUUUAGGUUUUAUUUACGUAAUUAUUAGGGGGAGGUUAAUAAUUGUCUAUUGUGACAUUAAUUAACUAAACUAAGUAAAAUAGUGUUACGAAUUUUGUACGUAUUGUCCACUUAGUGUUGUAUAAUGUAAAUUAUUCUUGUUCCUAGGUAGGCAUGUUAGCUCUUACAAGUGUCAUUUGCUUGCGUUUUAUGGGUAAAUAUGAUCUUGGAUAUAUUUAUUGAUCUACCAAUGAGUAUCAUUUCAAAAAUACUUCUUUUCCUUGACAAUUGGUAUUCCCAUCAUAUGAUUGGAAUUGAUAAUCAUCUUUACAUUGGAUUUUGUGUUUCGUUUGUCUUUCUUGCCUCUUAUGAAUCUAUUUUUAACAUGUCUAGUGUGGUUAUAGAUAUAGAGAAAGUGAUGAUCCCAUCGUGUGCGUUUUGUAUUCAAAUGCAAAUUCUAUAUAAUGCACGUCCCUUGGGGGAGCUAUCCUAUUCCCUUUAAAAAAACACUCUCUUUAUUCACCCAUCAUAAAAUCAUUUGAUCCCCAUCAAGUGUGUGUUGAUGGGAGGCAAGUCUUGCUCUUUAUGAUGCUUUGUGCCAUCAUGAAAAUUUGUAGAGGGCUUUGUUUGUUGGAACCUAGCUCUCUCUUAGAAACUAGAUACCUCUAUUUGUUUUCCUUCAAAUUGGUUUCUUGUUGCCUUCUAUUUGGCAUGUGUCAAUGGAUAUCUCAUUCCUUGAUGUAUCUUUUAAUUUAUAUCUUUCAAGUGAUAGUUCUUUUGUUUUAGGAUCUUAUUAUCACUUUAUAUCUUGUCUUUUGAUGACUUAUCAACUUUGUGUUGAGUUGAUUCUUGAGAGUCUUGAGCAUGCAUAUCUAGCUACUAUAUACAACUUCUUUUGCUUGCUUUCCUCCUUUGACCCAAUAUAUAAGGGAAACUCCACCCUGUCAUAAAUUGGCUAAAGUGUGCAUGAAAUUCAAAUUCAUAUCUAUAUGCACAUAUGUGUGUGGAGUUUGUCCUAUGUAUUGCUGGUUUUCUAACUCUUUGGUCCCAAUGAGUUUGGGCACCAUUUUGUUUGUUUUGUUGUUCCAGGAACAACUGGAGAUGCAUUGGAUGCUCGGCUUACCUAUAAGGAAGAUGUUGAGACCAUGUGAUUAUUGGAGCCAAGUUAGGAUGAUCAAAGAACAACUAUCUACUACAUCAAUCCAAUGUUGUCUCUGUAACAAGUAUCCACUUCAUGCAUUCUUUUCUUGCAAAGGACCCAACCUGUCUUUUUUUUCAGGUUGCAUCAUGGCAUGAAUCUCUUGAUUUGUUCUCGUAGUACUUGUUUGCUUUCUCAAAGCAUCCGAACGAUGAUGUCUUACUGCUAGUUGGGAUGUCUUUGAAGUUCGUAUGUUGGAAGUUCAUAUUAUACAAUAAGAAAAUAUUAGGCCAUGUGCUAUGCUUCCAAGCAAAAGAUCUCAUUGAUAUAUUUAUGACUUUCCUUUUUUGGAUAUCUAGUGUUCUUCCUUCUUGUAACCAUUUCGUGUGUACAUCCUUCUUUGUGGAUAUAUAUAUCAUCAUGAUUGUCUUCUACUUAGAAUCUUGGUCACAUGAGACAAGUUACAUCUCUAAUUGAUAUCCUCUUUUCUUUCACGUCCAUCGCUGCAUUUCCUUUUUCGGUUUUGGUGGCAACGUGAAAGGAUUUGUUUUGAGUGCGUAUCUUAUUUUCCUACAUCUUGGUGCACUCUUUGGCCGUGAAGAUUAUUUUUCCUCAUGCUUGUCUUGAUGAGGGUUUUGCCAUUUUCAAUUAGUAUCCCUCCUCUUGACAAGAUUCUUACUUCCUAUCUUCACAAUGGGUUGUCACAAGCGUUGGUUCUUAUUUUGUUUAUUAGUAAGCUUGUGAACCCAUUUUCUAGUGUGUGUGUGUGGGAAUGAUAUGUCUUGCACUUUGUAUCUCAUAUUCAUCAAGACUAUGUUAAUGAGCAAUGCUCAUCCUUAUCUUAAGUCUUCUAAAGUGCUUUGCCAUGACUCACACACAUUACUUUGGUUGAGCUUAUUCUUAAGUUGCUUCCUUUACAUGUUGCUCAACCAUUAGUUUUGUGCAAUUGAUAUGCCUAUUGCCUCAUCUAUCUUCUUGCACUCGUUGUGUGUUUCUAUUAAUUCUGGGGGAGCAACGAUCCUAUUUUGUGAACCUGUGUCAAAUACAAAAAUCUCAUAUUAGUGCACAAAUCAUGGGGAGCUUCUCUAGUUUUUGAUAAAGCACUAUGUUGCCUUUAUCAUAAUAUCUUUUAUUCAUGUGGUUCGAAGGACCAUAUGAUUGUUUGUUCCAUCUGGGAUCUUUUGAUUGCUUGCCUCUAUCUUUGUAUGUCUUUGUGGCAUACGAUUCUUUUUGCAAUCUUUGGGUCCUUAAUAUAGUUUAUUGUCCUCCAACUACUUAUCAUUGUAUUUGUGUAUUUUUCUGCACUCUUUUGCUGAGAAGUACACACUUUUUGGAGGACCACCUACUAUAUUUGCUUUCUAAACUUUUCGUCCAUUUUGGCAAUCGAUGCCAAUGGGGGAGAAGUUUAGAGAGUUUACUUUGGAUAUGUUUAGAGGGUUUUGCUUUUAUUGCGUAAGCAUUUACAUCUUGAUCACAUGCACUAUUACCUUGUAUGUGUGCGUUUGGUUAUGCUUAUUUCAUUAUAUAAACUCUCUUGAAGUGGUUGUCUUCAAUUACCAAAAUGGGGGAGAUUGAUAGAGCAUAAUAUAUCUCCAUAUGUGGUUUUGGUAAUUGAUGACAAUCCCUAUGGACUAAUGGUUGCCUUAAGUUAUAUUUAUAGGAUUUGUCCAUAGGCACUUCUUGAAGUCCAUCUGUUGGGUUCAAGGAGUUUAUAUGUUGACCAAGAUGUUAUUCAAGGUAUUAUCCAAAGAAUGGUCAUAGAAACACUAGGUUGAUCAAGAUCUCAGACUAAGAGCAAAUCAAGAUGAUCAACACACAAAGCGUAUAAGAUGUACCGAGAGGGAUCAAGUGAUCCCAUGGUAUGGUAAGCAUUGUCCAUUACGUGUUUGUGUACUAACCCAUGGUCUUUGUGAGACUCCUAUGUAGGGGUUAGGUGUGUUUCCAUUGGGCUUGCGUCAAAAGGAAGAUCUCAUACAACCCAUGAAGGAUGACGUCAAGUGGUGAUCGUCAUCAAGAUUGUGGUGUGCAAGUUCAAGUGGAUCAACACAAAUAUAUCAUUGAAACUAUUGUCAAUGAUCAUGUGUUGAUAAGGACAAUCUCAUGUGCUAACAAGGACAAGAUCAAGAUAAGCAUUCCUGAGCACUACAUGCUUGAUUCUUGUGGAUGUUCACAUGGUGGACAGGACAAGAUCAAGAUAAGCAUUCUUGAACACUACAUGCUUGAUUCCUGUGGAUGUUCACAUGGUGGACAAAUGAAGAUAAAUACAUAAGCUAGGCUUUCCACAUUGUGUAUGGGAAAGCUACUUGAAGACUUCAUCAUGUCCUGCUUUCAACUUGAGCCAAGAAGGAACAACAACAUCAAGCUCAAGUGAAAGGGCUAACUCAAAGAUAUCAGUUCCUUUGACGUUAGUUGUGCGGAGUGAUGAUCAGCGAAUAAAAGUAUACACUCAAGUAUGGAUCAUCAGUACUCUUUUAUGAUUCUUGAGUCCUUAGGGAUCCCGCACUAUUAAGAGGGGAUCACAGGUUUUGCGAUAAACUUGCUCAAACUACAUCAUCACUUUCUGCUCAGACCACAUCUCCACUGUUUUGUUGUUAUCUUAAAACAAAACCAGUGCCUCGGACAUCCGGCUUUCUCCGGACGUCCGAGGACCGGACGACUCACUAGUUCGGAAAUCCGGAAUCCUAUAGUAGAGAAAUCAGAGCCAUAUAACUCGGACUUCCGGCUACCUCCGGACGUGCGAGGCCCGGAUGUCUGGCCAAGUUCCGGAAAUCCGGAAGCCUGCACCAGUAGAAGUUGUGUUCUAUAUCUCGGAAAUUCGGCUCCCUCCGGACGACCGAGCGCCGGACGUCCGACACCCGUCGGAAAUCCGAAACCUACCACCAGUAGAAGUUGAGUUCUAUAUCUCGGAAAUCCGGCUCCCUCCGGACGACCGAGCGCCGGACGUCCGACACUCGUCGGAAAUCCGGAACCUACCACCAGUAGAUGUUGAGCUGUAUAACACGGACUUCCGGGCCACUCCGGACGUCCGUAUGCUGAUGAAUUCAAAUAUGUUCAGGCACAUCUACAGGCCUCGGACGACCGACCCCCGUCGGACGUCCGGCCGCUGAUGAAUUCAGAAGAGUUCCAGUCAUGCCUAAAAGUCUCAGACGUCCGACCCCUGUGGGACGUCCGGCCCCUCACGGACGCCCGGACUUCCGACAACUGUCGGACGUCCGGACCCUGUGUGACUUAAAGUGUCCCCAACGGCUCUUUUUCUCUCAACACUAUAAAUACCCCCUCCCACUUCGUGAGAGGGCGGCCCAACACAUCCUUAUCCUCAUAAGAACACACUUCCACCUCACACACAUUUGCUCACUCCAAAUCUUAGAUACUAAGAGCAUUUGUGAGCCCCUUUGAGAGUUGUUCCAAUCAAAAGAUAGAUCUUCUCCCUCUCCUUCUCUCAACCCAAGCUAUUUGUGAUUUGAGCAAGUUUUGAGCAUUCCCCGUGAUCUUGUUACUCUUGGAGGUUGGAGACUCCUAGGCGGUAGGAGUUCUUUGGAGAGUAAUCAAUCCAUGUGAUUUCCCCCAGAAAAGUUUGUGAGGGUUUGGAAGCCACCUCAAAGGCUUACCACUAGUGGUUGAGAAACACCUUCGUGGUGUUAUCUCAAAGGGAGAAUAGGGUGAGCCUUCGUGGCAUUGGUGUGCCUUCGUGGUAACAUCCACCUCUCUAACGGUGAGUAGCUUCCCUCCAAGGAAGUGAACAUCGGGAUACAUCUUCGUCUCAGUGACCUUGGUUAUCCUUAACCCUAACUCCUUACUUGUGGUUUACUUGUGUUAUUUGAGCAUACAUACAUUGCAUAUUGCUUGUGCUCAUUAUAUUGUGUUGGCCAUUUCUUGUACAAGAUUAAUCAUUCAAGCAUACCCUCUAUAUCCACACGUUCAUACUUGCAUACCUUGAUAUAUCGUGUUGAUAUAGUGUGAUCUAGUAUCUUGUGUUGUUCACCUACUUGUCGUGUGAUACAGCUCAAGUAAGUUUGUGUAACUUACUUGUGCUUGUUAGUAACUGUAUUGUGUCCAUCUUGGUAGAUCGUGUUGUUGAUACACGUUGCAGUGCCUAGUGCAUUUAGGAUUUGUGCUUGACAAGUACCCUCUUAGUUGAUUUCCGCAUUAGGUUCAAGCCAAAUCUGAAAAAGCUUUUAAAUAGCCUAUUCACCCCCCUCUAGGCGUCAUCGAGGUCUUUUCACCAGCGCGGUGGGAGGUCCGCCGGGUGAGGUGUGGCGAGAUGAGGCAUUGCACCCGGUCGGCGAAUAAGGGCCGCAGUGGGCGCUGCGCCGGGCGACGCUGUGGGCGACUCCGCAUGGGUGCCCGGAGGAAGGGGCGACUGCUCCUCGUGCAUCCGCAUGGCGGCUCUCCUGCAUGUAGUGGAGGUGGAGGCCACCGGGGACCGAUAUGGGGGACACGACGGGCGGCGACGACGACAGAGAUGGGGGGACACGGGCGGGCGGCGGACGGGGGAGGGGAAGGAGGGAGGCGGACGGCGGAGGGGGGAGGAGGGAGGGCGGGACGGGGAGGGGGAGGAGGGAGGCGGGACGGGGRRGGGGAGGUUGGGACGGCGGGAGGCGGACGGCGGAAGGUGGCGAGGCCAGGGCGACUGGCUCCCGGUUAAUUCUUCCUAAAUUUAUGUACUUGAUUGGCUCCUUUUUUCGUGGAGGUGCAACAGUUUUUUGCUUGUAGGAGGAGGUGGAGCACGGUCAGCCAGUCUACGCGUNNNNNNNNNNNNNNNNNNNNNNNNNNNNNNNNNNNNNNNNNNNNNNNNNNNNNNNNNNNNNNNNNNNNNNNNNNNNNNNNNNNNNNNNNNNNNNNNNNNNAGUAAGGAGUUAGGGUUAAGGAUAACCAAGGUCACUGAGACGAAGAUGUAUCCCGAUGUUCACUUCCUUGGAGGGAAGCUACUCACCGUUAGAGAGGUGGAUGUUACCACGAAGGCACACCAAUGCCACGAAGGCUCACCCUAUUCUCCCUUUGAGAUAACACCACGAAGGUGUUUCUCAACCACUAGUGGUAAGCCUUUGAGGUGGCUUCCAAACCCUCACAAACUUUUCUGGGGGAAAUCACAUGGAUUGAUUACUCUCCAAAGAACUCCUACCGCCUAGGAGUCUCCAACCUCCAAGAGUAACAAGAUCACGGGGAAUGCUCAAAACUUGCUCAAAUCACAAAUAGCUUGGGUUGAGAGAAGGAGAGGGAGAAGAUCUAUCUUUUGAUUGGAACAACUCUCAAAGGGGCUCACAAAUGCUCUUGGGAUCUAAGAUUUGGAGUGAGCAAAUGUGUGUGAGGUGGAAGUGUGUUCUUAUGAGGAUAAGGCUGUGUUGGGCCGCCCUCUCACGAAGUGGGAGGGGGUAUUUAUAGUGUUGAGAGAAAAAGAGCCGUUGGGGACACUUUAAGUCCCACAGGGUCCGGACGUCCGACAGUUGUCGGAAGUCCGGGCGUCCGUGAGGGGCCGGACGUCCCACAGGGGUCGGACGUCCGAGACUUUUAGGCAUGACUGGAACUCUUCUGAAUUCAUCAGCGGCCGGACGUCCGACGGGGGUCGGUCGUCCGAGGCCUGUAGAUGUGCCUGAACAUAUUUGAAUUCAUCAGCAUACGGACGUCCGGAGUGGCCCGGAAGUCCGUGUUAUACAGCUCAACAUCUACUGGUGGUAGGUUCCGGAUUUCCGACGGGUGUCGGACGUCUGGCGCUCGGUCGUCCGGAGGGAGCCGGAUUUCCGAGAUAUAGAACUCAACUUCUACUGGUGGUAGGUUCCGGAUUUCCGACGGGUGUCGGACGUCCGGCGCUCGGUCGUCCGGAGGGAGCCGGAUUUCCGAGAUAUAGAACUCAACUUCUACUGGUGCAGGCUUCCGGAUUUCCGGGACUUGGACGGACAUCCGGGCCUCGGACGUCCGGAGGUAGCCGGAAGUCCGAGUUAUAUGGCUCUGAUUUCUCUAGUAUAGGAUUCCGGAUUUCCGAACUAGUCAGUCGUCCGGUCCUCGGAUGUCCGGAGAAAGCCGGAUGUCCGAGACACUGGUUCUGUUUUAAGAUAACAACAAAACAGUGGAGAUGUGGUCUGAGCAGAAAGUGAUGAUGUAGUUUGAGCAAGUUUAUCGCAAAACCUGUGAUCCCCUCUUAAUAGUGCGGGAUCCCUAAGGACUCAAGAAUCAUAAAAGAGUACUGAUGAUCCAUACUUGAGUGUAUACUUUAUUCGCUGAUCAUCACUCCGCACAACUAACGUCAAAGGAACUGAUACCUUUGAGUUAGCCCUUUCACUUGAGCUUGAUGUUGUUGUUCCUUCUUGGCUCAAGUUGAAAGCAGGACAUGAUGAAGUCUUCAAGUAGCUUUCCCAUACACAAUGUGGAAAGCCUAGCUUAUGUAUUUAUCUUCAUUUGUCCAUCAUGUGAACAUCCACAGGAAUCAAGCAUGUAGUGCUCAAGAAUGCUUAUCUUGAUCUUGUCAUGUCCACCAUGUGAACAUCCACAAGAAUCAAGCAUGUAGUGCUCAGGAAUGCUUAUCUUGAUCUUGUCCUUGUUAGCACAUGAGAUUGUCCUUAUCAACACAUGAUCAUUGACAAUAGUUUCAAUGAUAUAUUCGUGCUGAUCCACUUGAACUUGCACACCACAAUCUUGAUGACGAUCACCACUUGACGUCAUCCUUCAUGGGUUGUAUGAGAUCUUCCUUUUGACGCAAGCCCAAUGGAAACACACCUAACCCCUACAUAGGAGUCUCACAAAGACCAUGGGUUAGUACACAAACACGUAAUGGACAAUGCUUACCAUACCAUGGGAUCACUUGAUCCCUCUCGGUACAUCUUAUACGCUUUGUGUGUUGAUCAUCUUGAUUUGCUCUUAGUCUGAGAUCUUGAUCAACCUAGUGUUUCUAUGACCAUUCUUUGGAUAAUACCUUGAAUAACAUCUUGGUCAACAUAUAAACUCCUUAGAACCCAACAGAUGGACUNNNNNNNNNNNNNNNNNNNNNNNNNNNNNNNNNNNNNNNNNNNNNNNNNNNNNNNNNNNNNNNNNNNNNNNNNNNNNNNNNNNNNNNNNNNNNNNNNNNNCCUUUUCCCUCCUUCCCUCCCCCUCCUCCCCCACCCCCGACCGACCACCCCUCGCCCCCGUCCCCACCUCGACCCGACGCCUCCACUGCUSGCCCUCGGCGACUCGACCGGCCGCCGCCCACCCGUCCGACUCGGCCCACCACGACCUCCUCACCUCUUUCCCGCACGGCUUCCUUGAGCCUUCUCGGCGCACACCGACAACGGGAGACGAGCUCCCCUCGUUUCCCCUCCCUCCCCUCCCCUCCCCUCCCCUCCUGCACUACCCCCAUACCCCGCCGAUCGCGCCCUGGCCUCGCCCGUGCUGCCCCUUGCGCUUCGCUCGGCCGUUGUUGCUGCCGCACACAACUACGCCCGUGCACGUGCUCACAGUUAACUCCAGCCACGACCCGUGCUUCGCCCUCGCCGAUGACGCCCCGUUGUCCCCCUCCGGCCACGUCCAUGGCUCGGAUGGCCUCGCCCCCCGGUCGGCCCCCUUGUCAUAGUGUAAAUUGGGGCUACCCCCCCCCCCAAUUAGGGCCGCACCAAAAUGACAAAAGGGGCCCACCCCCGUACACAAAUUAAAAUAGAAAAAUUAAAUAAGUAAAAUGAAAAUAAUAAAAAUAGCCAAUUAAUUAAUUAAUUAAUAAUUUAAUUAGAUAACUUAAUUAAAUUAAACCUAAUAUAUUAAUAAAUAAAAAUAAUUGGUUAAUUAAAUAAUUUAUUAGUUAAUCAAUGAGUUAGGUAGCUAACUAAAUUAAUAUAAAUCUAAUUAGUCUAACUAAUUCUAUUAAUUAGUUAAUAGAGUACUAGCAAAAGGGCCCGUGCGUUGCAACGGGAGAAAAAAAUACCACACGCUUUUAAUCUUUUUAUAAUCAUUUUGAUUUAUUAAAAUAAUAAGCUAACUAACUAAUGUAGUCAGUCCUAUCCUAUUUUGUUGAGAAAUCAACCCGUCCAUUGUUAAUUCCACCAUGAUGAGAAAUUGAGCGGGACAAGCAAAGCAAAACAAAGAGGCUACAUGAAUUGAUCAAUGGACUGUUAUCUUAUUUCACUCAUGGGGUAGAGAAUGUGGGAUCAGAUGACAAAAUGAAGGUGGUGUUUCAUUCUCUGUCUCUACAACAAUACAAUCUUAUAUUCAAUACAUUCAUUCAUCAGCAAACAAAUCCCCACAAAAUAAAAUUUCUUGCCGGCGCUUGGCACACAGUUGGAGGCAUGGGGAGGGGAUCUCACCAGAUGAUGAGUUCCUGCCGGAGGAGGGGAUACGAUAAGGGGAGCAAGGGUUAGGCGCCUCUAUCUGGCCAUAAGGAGUCGCCGUUGCCGCACCAUAACCAAGGAGUUCCCCGUGUGAGCCAUGGAGGCCCGCCUCCACCUUAGAGUACUUCGCUCCGCCGCGCCUUAUCUGCGCGCCGCCGCCAUUCUGCAUCGAGCAGACGCAUCAUCCCCAGUCACUGUAGCUGUCACGUUGGUUUGAUCCAGAAGCUGUGCUCGAGCGCCGAAACGGGGGCAGCAAGCGGGCAGAGGUACAGUCGCGGAGGCGGGUGGGUUGAGAUCGACAACAGUGGUGGUUGAGGUCGGCCGCGGCGGCGAGUGGUGUGCCAGCGGCCUGAGCACGGGCCAGGGUCGGACCGAGGGUCGACGGCGGAUGCGCUCGAGCGCCGUCUAACGGGGGCAGUGAGUCGGGGUAGAGGUACGGCCGCGGAAGGCGGGUGGGUUUAGAUCGGCAGCGGUAGGACGGUUAGAGGUCGGCCGUGGUCGGUCGAGUGGUGGUGGGUCGGCGGCCUGGGCACAGGCCUAGGGUUGGYCCYAGGGUCGACGGGAGGAGGCGAGUGCGUACGAGUAUAAUUUUUAGACUAAGACGUAAAUUACGUUUUUUUACCUUUAGUACGNNNNNNNNNNNNNNNNNNNNNNNNNNNNNNNNNNNNNNNNNNNNNNNNNNNNNNNNNNNNNNNNNNNNNNNNNNNNNNNNNNNNNNNNNNNNNNNNNNNNUCAUAUUGAACAGAAUGCUAACCUCCCCAUAGAUGCAUCACGAACCUGAGCCUCUGAAUCUUUGAUUGUACUGCAAGACAAAUAACAUAAUGCCAAUGAGGUUAGCAUUUGAGCCACCUCUUACCAAACAAGGAGGCAGAGAUAACUGGGGUUGCAGAUUUUUUCGCUGAUACUGACAACCCAAAAGUUGCAGAGGAGGCGGGGUUGUCCAGCUGAUAGAGCAUAAUAUAUCUCCAUAUGUGGUUUUGGUAAUUGAUGACAAUCCCUAUGGACUAAUGGUUGCCUUAAGUUAUAUUUAUAGGAUUUCUCCAUAGGCACUUCUUGAAGUCCAUCUGUUGGGUUCAAGGAGUUUAUAUGUUGACCAAGAUGUUAUUCAAGGUAUUAUCCAAAGAAUGGUCAUAGAAACACUAGGUUGAUCAAGAUCUCAGACUAAGAGCAAAUCAAGAUGAUCAACACACAAAGCGUAUAAGAUGUACCGAGAGGGAUCAAGUGAUCCCAUGGUAUGGUAAGCAUUGUCCAUUACGUGUUUGUGUACUAACCCAUGGUCUUUGUGAGACUCCUAUGUAGGGGUUAGGUGUGUUUCCAUUGGGCUUGCGUCAAAAAGGAAGAUCUCAUACAACCCAUGAAGGAUGACGUCAAGUGGUGAUCGUCAUCAAGAUUGUGGUGUGCAAGUUCAAGUGGAUCAACACAGUCUACGCGUNNNNNNNNNNNNNNNNNNNNNNNNNNNNNNNNNNNNNNNNNNNNNNNNNNNNNNNNNNNNNNNNNNNNNNNNNNNNNNNNNNNNNNNNNNNNNNNNNNNNCGUACGCCGGCCGCCUGACCCACUCGGCGCGCCCCACGUGGCCCAGUCCUUAUCCACCACGUACACCGUGUCCCCGUCGACCGUCGGCUCCCACGCCUUUCCGCGCCCCCCUCCGCCCCCAACCUCUCCUUCCCCCUCCCCCUCGCCCCCGCCUCUCCUCUCCCUCUCCCUCUACCCUCUCCCGCCCCCAACCACCACCCAUCUCCCCUCUCCCGUCUCACCGACGCACCUCCACCUCCCCGGAAUUGAACCACCGUGCCGGCCCGCCCGAUCCGCGACAGCCAGCCCGCCGCCCGGAGCAAGGAGGACCGUCCUUCCAGGUGAGAGAUCGACUCUCCCCCCGCCCCCACCAAGUCCAAAUCCGCGCGCAAUGCUCGCCCAAUUCCGCCCCUCGCGCGCGCUCGUCGUCGUCGUCGUUGCGAAUGCUUCCUGCGACGGGAGGGAAUUCCCCGAGCGCCCGCCCGUCCGUGCUCGACGGGCGAGCUCGCGCGCGUGCGGGCGGGCGGUACGCGCCUCGCCGGGAAUUGGCGUGGUCUGGGGCUCUGGGCUCCCCUCCCCGCGCCGCCGUUGUUCCGCUCCGUUUUUGCUAGGAGAGUCCCGUGCGUGGGUGGGAGUGGUCGAAUUGCGUUGCGUGCGGCCCGACGCUCGCCGCGGUUUCGGUGUCGGAGGCCCGUGCUCUCCGGUGAUGGCAGAUACUAUUAGUAGUACUAGUUAGCAUUUUUUUUCCCGACAAAAAAAAAAAUAGUUAGUAUUAGUAGCAUUUUAAUAGAGUAUGUAUGUAUACAGGCAAGGGCCGCCGGCCGUUCGAGAUUGGUUGGGGGAAUCAACCUGCUGCGUUAGUAUUAGGCUGUGCGGUUGCAAGCAGACCCGACAGUGCUGCUGCUUCUUCUCUGGGUUGUUCCGUGCGCGCUUGAAACUGGGGGAGUGGUCUCAUCUCAUCUUGCGUAUGAGUUCAGCGAUUGAACUGAUCGAUCUGGCGUCGACUCGGAGCAUUCUUUGAUGCAAUUCGUGCUUGGUCUUUAGUCAAAGUUAGAGAGGGUACUGUUUCGCCAGGCACCUCUGACCGAUUUCCAGACAGAGGAAACUACUUCAGUCUGGUCUGCUGAUGGUUUUGGCAGUUUGCACUUCGUUGUGAGCUUCCCAGCAUCAAAGUCCUGGAACGCCAUGGUGUCUGUUUUCAGGGUGCACCCUCUACUUCUGUGUGAAAGGUAUUGCAUCGUACGGAAGGCUGUACAUCAUACAUGAGAUUUAAGUGUUCUCUUUUCCCGAAGAAACAGUCUGGUUGGUUGGUUGGUUCUGCUGCACCGUGAAAAUUUUGUUGGCAGUGCGACCGUAUGCGUCAGAACUCACUUUUGAUGAAACCUGCAUAUUGCAAGGUAGAUGCGCUACAGAUUUAUUGUUCGCGGUGCUACGGAAUCUCUCACCUACACUACGCCUGGACCCAUUGAAAACUAGCACUUGUGAAAGCUUAGCUCACCUGUACUUUAGUUCGGUAAAUUAUUAUACUGCAUGUUGAUACAGUAUUGAAUUCUACAUGGCAGACAAGGCAGGUGUUCAGUGAAGGCAUGGCGCAUGAUGAAGCUGUGUCUGCGCAGAAGACUGGAAAAUCAGGUUCACCUCCUAAGGUAAGAAUCGCUGAUUUACAAGUACCCGCGGACCACUGAGAUAUUGCCUUCAAAGACAGGAGACUCUAAUUUAAUAGAACUUCCUGACUACUGAGAAAUUGCCCGACCUUCUAUGGCAUGAGCUUUCUGGAAAUUACUUGUAUGAUUUAUUGAAAUUCAUUGCCAAAAUAAAUAUCUAUGUACACAAUUUUAAAAAUUCCGUGAAUGCAGCAAAGAACACCACUGGUAUUACUGGCCUUCAAAAAUUAAUAUGCAGUGUCCCUAGUCUAUCAAUACAACUCACUGCAAAAAAGAAUGAGGGGAAAGUACUCGGGAAAUUUCAAAUAUGACAAAUGUCUUAUGGAUCACCAUCAUUUGCAGGAUCAACCAGCUCCCUGUCCAUAUCCUGAUUGGUCGGCCAUGCAGGUUGAGUGUUUUGCUGUUCUCUUACUGUCCCUACUUCCCAAGGACUGUAUAACACGGUAAUUUAAGCAAUAACAUCAAACCUUUACAGGCAUACUACGGUUCUGGUGUCAUGCCACCGGCAUAUUUUGCUCCAGCCAUAGCUGCAGGUCAUCCACCUCCGCCAUAUAUGUGGGGUCCUCAGGUAUUUUGUUUUUUUAUCUCUCUGUACAGUGGUGUUUCUUCAUGCACUGUAUAUUGAAUCUAAGCCCCUUCUCUUCCUCCCUGCAGCAUAUGAUGCCACCUCCUUUUGGAACGCCAUAUGCUAUGUACUCACAUGGUGGAGCUUACCCGCACCCGCUUGUGCCCAUGGUAAACAUCGGAUUCCCUGAGCUUCUUUGCACUUUGUUUAGAUAAAACUCAAUGUUUGAAGCUUUAAACAUUUAUGCACCAUGAGUUUCUUGGUGUUUGAAGCCUUACACAUUUUGUGAAAAAGAAAACAAAGGUAGAUGUUUGUUAUCAUCAUCUUGUCUUGUGUUAAUUUUUAUGCUAGAUAGUAGUAUUGUAGUUUGAAAAACACAAGGAUAGUUGAGUUCCAUUAUGCUCACCACAAGUCUUGAUUAAAAAAUGUUACAGCACACCGCAAUUUCGGAACAACUGAUUAUGUCUGUCUAAACAAUCAAAUGUUCAAGGGAUCAUCUUGAUUGAUAUUUCCAUAGUUAUAUUUUACUUCCAGCAUCUGAAUCUCUUAUGUUGAUAUCUUCCUUGAACACAACUUCUGAGUUUCUCGUUCAGAUUAUUUCUGUUAAUCUGUUUUUUGUCUUGAUGCUUUCAAGAUGGCAAAUCCAUUGAGUGUGGAGCCAGCCAAAUCUGCAAACAGUAAGGAUAAAAGUUCCAAUAAGAAACUUAAGGAAAUUGAUGGGUCUGCAGUAUCUACUGGCAGUGGUAACAGUAAAAAAACAACAUCCAGGUAUUUUCAUGCUUUUCUUCUGUUUCUGAUAUCAAGUAUUCCUGUCCUCUUCUGGUAAACUGAAGUUAUGUUCGUUUGCUGGUCAAUUCAGUGGGGAUUAUAGCGGAGAAGGCUCGAGUGAUGUAAAUGAUCUGAAGGUACCAAUUUGGGCGUGUGAUUGCACAUGUAUUAUAUUUAGUGUCUGGACAAUGCUGAUUUAGGUUAAAACUUUACAUGUUCAGGUGAGCGGGACUCCUAGGAAACGGAGCUUGGAUGGUGGAUUUGGUAUUUCACUUUUCUAACGACUUGUUUAAUUUUCAGAGAUUCUAGUAUUAAUGCCUACUUUGAUUAGUCAUUCUGCUGCAGUAGCCAUCUUGUAUUGUAUUUUUGAAAAAUCCAUCUUGUAUUGUAGCCAUUUUGUACUGUAACACUUCUCUUGUUCUUUUUUCGGUAGGCAAACUUGCAUCUGUUUUUCCUUUGCUUGGCAAAUAGAUACACCUGCAUCUUUGAGUCGCUUCAUGGCUGUAAUCAAGUCCUAUCCUAAGUUUCACGGUUGGCAAGGAAGUGGCUAAUACCUUAAACCUGUCUCCAGACACAGAAGCAACUGCGGCAGCAAGGAAUAAAGACGUUGUAGCUUCUAAUCCUACCAUUCGAAAUGGCACAAUUUUGCCAAACCAAUGCUUUCCAGCUCCGGUCAUUAAACCCAGUGUUACCAAUGUUGCUAAUUCGAGAGCAAUAGGCACACCGGUGUCUCCAUUGCCAGGUGUUAUGGCUCCAAUUCAUACCGGAAUAUCAACUGAAUUAUCAUCUAAGGUAUAUUCAUCUAUUGUUGUUUAGAUCCGAUAGAAAAUCUUGAUUAUGACUGUAUUUUGCACCCAACAAACCCAAUUCCUAGUGUUUCUUGUGAGGUUGUAAUUAUUGUUAUUACUACAACAGUAUGUGUUAAGACCAUUUCUGGUUACAGAGAUUGAUUUUUUUUUUAAUUUCUCANNNNNNNNNNNNNNNNNNNNNNNNNNNNNNNNNNNNNNNNNNNNNNNNNNNNNNNNNNNNNNNNNNNNNNNNNNNNNNNNNNNNNNNNNNNNNNNNNNNNAACCUUUUAGGUAAUUUAUUAAACUAUUUUUUWAAWUAACUUAAAAAAUURWAAACKARGUAUUUUWGUAUUAUUAUUUUUUUAGUAUUUUUUUAAAAUUAGCACUACAHUUUUUAUAAUUUACUAAAAAGAAAGAAAAAUAGAACUUUAAAAUAGUAGAAAAAAAAUAUAAAAAUAGAAAUAGAAACAGAAUAUUAAAAGAAAACAGGCCGGCCCAGGCGUCAGCGCAUGCGUGCGAAGCCCCGCCUACUUUAGGUAAGUGGCGUCAAAUAGGGUUUUUCGCCCUGUCUAACUCAUAUGAAUUGCAGAGAUAUAUCAGGUAGCUAACCCUGUGUCCUUAACAAAGUUGGAAGCUAGCUCAAGCGGUUGGUACUAUUGGGGUAGAAAGUGCAGGUUUGUAAUUUGAAUUCUAGUGAAAAGAAAUAAAGACUACGUGGCAAAAAUAGGACGGACGGGAAAAAUGAACUGUUUUUUUAUUGCGGGUGGCAUUGGAGGUAAUUUCUUGCAACUUUAUUGGCAAUUAAGUUAGUGAAUUGACUAAAAAACAAAGAAAUAUGUAAGAAAUAGAGACUACGUAGCAAAAAUAGGACAGACGGGAAAAAUGAACUGUUUUUUUAUUGCGGGUGGCAUUGGAGGUAUUUUCUUGCAACUUUAUUGGCAAUUAAGUUAGUGAAUUGACAAAAAAAACAAAGAAAUAUGUAUGCCAUUCUUAUUAUUAGGUACACAUAUAGAUAUGUCAACUCUCCACAUGCUUUGGGAUAUCAAACGGCUAAAAUUGGGUUGUUUGACAUCUGGCUUGAAGAGCGUGUGGUACGAAGAGAGAGCGGCAAAGUACGGAGCUAAGAAAAUAUCAUGCCGAGAACACUGAACCACAUCUCAUUGUGUAGCCCACAUUAUAUAACGUGGUAAUGAUCAUGUAAACUUACGAGAAGAUCAAAAUAAGUUUGGGACAACUUUCACGUAUUUGGGACGAUUACAACAACAUGCGACGUUUGAAAAUAAUUUGGAUAAUGUUAAUCUCAUAAAAAAAUCAUAAAUCUGUUUGGAAAUUUGUAAGAAAAAAAUACAUACUCUGUGGGGAAGAGUCAAAAUAAUAACAAGGACGAAAUAAGAAAAUACUAGUCCCUCAUAUCAAAAUAUAAGGAGAUCUUCACUGAAGCUUACGAAGGGCUUCUUGGACGUGCCCAAGCGAGGGAAUCUGGCCUGAACCUUGAUUUCCUUGGGAUUCCUGCCGUUGAUCUUCAAGAGCUUGAGCAGAUGUUCACGGAGGAAGAAGUCUGAAGCACCAUAAAAGAGCUACCCGCGGAUCGUGCGCCGGGACCGGACGGAUUUAUUGGGGCCUUCUACCACCGUGCUUGGCCAAUCAUCAAGCAGGAUACCAUGGCCGUGUUGCUCAAGCUGUUCGUUUGGGAUAGCACAGGAUUUAGCAAGCUCAAUCGUGCCCACAUCAUUCUCAUCCCGAAGAAACCAGACGCUCAAGAGGUUGGAGACUUCCGCCCCAUUAGUCUGCCCCAUAGCAUUGCCAAAUUGUUCGCCAAGAUGCUCGCGAUCAGAGCCAGGAGGAGGAUGAAGGAUAUUGUUGCGGCCAAUCAGUCCGCCUUCAUUCUUGGCAGGAGCUUGCACGAUAACUUCCUGCUAGUGCGCCAAGUUGCUAGGAAAAUUCAUGCCCGUCGUGAUCUCGGAGUAUUCCUCAAACUGGAUAUUUCGCGCGCCUUCGAUUCAUUGGCGUGGCCGUUCCUCUUUGACGUCCUUCGCGCAAAAGGAUUCGGCAACAAGUGGAUUGGUUGGGUGGCUACGCUACUCAACUCGGCGAGCGCCAAGGUUGUGGUGAACGGAGUCCCCGGAAGGAGUUUUGUGCAUGCCAAGGGCUUAAGGNNNNNNNNNNNNNNNNNNNNNNNNNNNNNNNNNNNNNNNNNNNNNNNNNNNNNNNNNNNNNNNNNNNNNNNNNNNNNNNNNNNNNNNNNNNNNNNNNNNNCCCCCGGAAACUAUCAUUAAUGAAACGAUGUAAUAUACAUCAUACACAAGUUUACAUUGAGUUGUCAUUUUUUUAUUUACACAGAAAUGUAUUGAUCGGAACAAAUUAAUAAAUUACCUCAUGAAGUGUCAGAGAAAGAAGGCACCCAAAUAUGAAUUGUUAGUGUCAGGGAAAGAAUUUAUUUUUUUUAUUUCUAAUACUAAUUCUUCUAAACUACAAUUGCCCACAAGCCAUUCCAAGUCACGGGAGAAAGAAGGCACCCAAAUAUGAAUUCUUAGUGUCAAGAAAUUGCACCUGCUCUUCCUGCCUCAAACACCUGCGCAUCUAUACUACUAAUAAAAGAUCAAAUGAAAACUUUUCUAAGUACACACAACUAUUACCCCCACAAAAACAAACACCAAUCACCACCACACAAUUAGACAACAAAUUACAAUCUAACGGCCUUCCACCAUCCAUGCACCACCACCGUGUGCAUUUACCAAAUUAACUAAGGCUGACCGUGCUCCACCUCCUCCUACAGCAAAAAACUGUUGCACCUCCACGAAAAAAAGGAGCCAAUCAAGUACAUAAAUUUAGGAAGAAUUAACGGGAGCCAGUCGCCCUGGCCUGCACCUUCGCCGUCGCCUCCGCGUCCAACCUCCCCCUCCCCGUCCGCCUCCUCCUCCCCCUCCCCGUCCGCCKCCCUCCUCCCCUCCCCSUCCCCGUCCCCGUHCCCGUCCCGUCCCGUCCCCUUCCCCCUCCCCCCGUCCCSKCCCCGYCCCCGUCCCGUCCCGUCCCCGACCUCCUCUCGUCNNNNNNNNNNNNNNNNNNNNNNNNNNNNNNNNNNNNNNNNNNNNNNNNNNNNNNNNNNNNNNNNNNNNNNNNNNNNNNNNNNNNNNNNNNNNNNNNNNNNCUUGUUUUUUUGUUCAAUUCUACUAACUUAACUUAGUCCAUAAAGUUGCAGAAUUACCUCCAAUGCACCGCAUAAAAAACRMGUUACGACUUUUUCCCCGUUCCGUCCCUAUUUUUGUCCACGUAGUCUUUAUUCUUUUUCACUAGAAUUCAAAUUACAAACCUGCACUUUCUUACCCCAACUAGUACCAACCGCUUGAGCUAGCUUCCAACUUUGUUAAGGACACAGGGUUAGCUACCUGAUAUAUCUCUGCAAUUCAUAUGAGUUAGACAGGGCGAAAAACCCUAAUUUGACGCCACUUACCUAAAGUAGGCGGGGCUUCGCACGCAUGCGCUGACGCCUGGGCCGGCCUGUUUUCUUUUAAUAUUCUGUUUCUAUUUCUAUUUUUAUAUUUUUUUUCUACAUUUUAAAGUUCAUUUUUCUUUCUUUUAGAAAUAUAAAAAUGUGUGCAUUUUAAAAAAAUCAAAAAAAUAUAUCAAAAAUCCUGUUUUCAAUUUUUUAAGUAUUUAAAAAAAUGUUUAUAAAUCCAAAAGGUGUUUAGAAUGUCGAAAAUUGUUCGCUUAUUUACAAAGGAUGUUCGAAAAUUGAAAAAAAAUAAAAAAAAUCAUUUUUUUAAAAACUGUUCUCAGUUUGAAAGUUUUAUUCAUGUAUUAAAAAAAUGUUCAGGAUUUCAAAUUGUUAACAGUUUUAAAAUUUUGUUCUCUAGCUGAAAAGAAAUGCUUGGGAGUUUCAAAAAUUAUUCCGAUGUACAAAUUUUGUUUGGUUUGGGGUAAGGUGAGGGACGUGUUGAUUCAUUUCUGAUUGCCUGUAUGGUUUCUUUCGUAUGUUGUCUUUAUUUCACAUCUCUUUUUGUCCCAAAUACGUUUAAGCUGUCCCAAACUUAUUUUCAUCUUCUUAAGUUUCAAUGAUCAUUAACAUGUUAUAUAAUGUUGGCUAUACAAUGAGAUGUGGUUCAGUCUUCUCAACAUGAUAUUUUCUAAGCUCCGUACUUUGCUGCUCUCUCUUGGUACCACACGUUCUUCAAGCCAGAUGUCAAACAAAGCAGAUUUCUAAUCGUUCGACAUCCCAAAUGCAUAUCUAUAUUUCUACCUAAUAAUAAUAAAGGCAUGUGCAGUUCUUUGUUUUUUUUGUCCAUUCACCAUCCUACUCCCUCGGUUCCUAAAUAUAUGUCUUUUUAGAGAUUUCACUAUAUGAGUACAUAACGAUGUAUAUAGACAUAAUUUAUGGUGUAGAUUCACUUAUUUUACUUCGUAUGUGGUCCCUUAAUAAAAUCUCUAAAAAGACUUAUAUUUAGAAACGGAGGGAGUAAUUGCCCAUAAAGUUGCAAGAAAUUACAACCAAUGUCACCUGCAAUGCUAAAAAAACAGAACAAUUUUUUACGCCCGUCCUAUUUUUGCCACCUAGGUUCUGUUUUUUCUUUUUGGCCGCCCCUGUUUUUCUUUUCGUCCGUCCGCACAGCUCGCAUAGGCCUCCUAAACGGCCCUGCUCGUUUCAUCUACUGCGAGGCGACAUGGGUGAAUCCUCUCACACCGCCGCCACCAGCCCCUACUCCCAAUCCCUUCCAUGUAGUUGUCGGCGCAUGUCGACGAACAAAGCUCGCCGGCGGUUGGCGGUGGUGGGACCUUUCCUCCCGUGGGUGUGCCAUGAAGGCUUUUCCUCAACAACAACAAAACGUAGUCCCCCUUUGGCAGGAAAUGAUCAGCAUUCAAACAAUUGAAUUGUCCACUCGACAGCCGCAACGUUAGCUCAUCAAUUUUGCAAGCAUAUAAAAGAGCAUUAUACUUGGAGUGUGAAGUUCUAGUGCUCGGGCAUCUUGAUGGCCUUUAUAGAAAAAAAUUAAAAAAAACAUAUUAAAAGGUUUCUAAAAAAUCAAAAAUAAUUCAGUUGAAACUUGUAUGUAUUCACUACGGAUCCAUGAAAUUUUGUUUUGAAAAAAAAUGUAAUUCGUGAGGUGUACACAAAUAACAAAAUUCCGGCCCAAUAACAGGAAAAGCCCAUUUGAAAAUACACAUUUGUUUUUUUAUACGCCACAUGCGAGAGUAAAAUGAUAUGGAAUUCUACAGAUACAUAAUAUACACAUGCGUGUGUGUUUACGAAUAAAAACAGUUUUUUUACGUUGCAGAAAAAUGAUUUUUGGAAACGGGCACCAAGGUGCCCGUGCACCAUUGCUAAUUUCCGAUUAUAGUUGGUACUUUACGUGUAAAAUCUGAUUGUCUUUUAUGGAAACUUUAACAAAUCUUCUAAGAGAUUGCAAAAUUAACACGUAAAGUACCAAGUAUAAUUUCAUGAAAUAAAUGCCAUGAACUAUUCACCAGUGAUAUAUUUGCCAUGAGAUGUGGACAUGUGGUAGCAUACUUUCUCUUGAAAUCACCGUCAAAGUUUGUAGCGCAUGUUCUUUGGUCCUAUGUUUGACAGCAUAUAAAAGAGCAGUGAAGAGAAAUCUACUCCUAGCUAGUUUCCAUGUUCACCAGGAACUUAUGUUAGGUCGACAACUGUCACAACUCCUAGCAUACAAAAGGCGGUCAAUUCUCAGUAGUAAUUAAGUUGUGCCUGAUUAUUUCUGUCCACCAAGCCGAGAAGAGAAAAAUGCCGUCCAAUCCACCUCGAAGGGCACACUCGUCGCACUGGCGAGGCCACCGAAUUCCGGUGUAAUAUCUUGCGUUGCUCCGGUUCCGAGAUCAGCAAUGUGUAUAUUGCACAAGUAGUCGACCAAAAUCAACUUGCCACUCCUCUCACCCAUCCAUAGAACCCGCGCACCGUGAUCAUGCUUCAGCUUGAGUCGUCCAAUAUCAAUCAUCCGAGUACAUCGCCACUCCAUAGUGCUACCUCCAUCUCUACAUGUCCAGUUCUCUACUUGAUUGCCUUGGGGCAGGUCAAGCAAAGAGAUCUUUCCACCGGUAGCAAUGUUGAGCCAUGGUGGCGCGAAUAAAAAGGCGUCAAUCGGAAUCGAGAGCUUUGCUGAGGAGACAUGGCCACUGUCAACGCUCACCUGGAGGAUGUAUGUAAUAGUCGGACGUACGUGCCUCUGAAGAGCCAAUAUGCCCGAGGCGCGGUCCAGCCCGACUCAUUGGACGAGAACAUGUAGAGAUCAAAGUCACUGGAGGUGCAAUUCGGGCCUACAGCCGGGUGUGCGUUGGCGCAGAUGAUGAGCACUUUGAACAAGGUCGAGUACCCUGGCGACGACGGACUUGGCUUUCGUUUCGUUGGAAAGGUCUGCACCGGUUAAUUAGAAUGGCAUGGCAUGCUAGUACGUACGAGUGCGCAUGCACUUGUUGCUCAUGAGAGGAGGGAGCACGUCGCAGGUGCCAUGGAGUGGGUUGCAGACGGCUAGGCUAGGUGGAUGUGGAUCGGCCCGUCCAGGCUCAAUAGAAGGAGGCCACGGCGCGCGCCUAGGGUUUUCGCGCGGUUGAAGAAACCGGCGGCGGCCUCGGGGAAGAACGAGCCGAUGCCGAGCGGUGAUCGCGGUGCCGGGACCAAGACGUGCCCCGAAGCGCCUAGCUGCGGAGCGAAGAAGCCCAAGAUAGAAGAUGAUCCGGCCGGGUGCAUCCGCCGGCCAACGGCGACGGAGGAAGGAAGGANNNNNNNNNNNNNNNNNNNNNNNNNNNNNNNNNNNNNNNNNNNNNNNNNNNNNNNNNNNNNNNNNNNNNNNNNNNNNNNNNNNNNNNNNNNNNNNNNNNNUAUCAAUUUAAGACACUAGAUAGGGGAUAGGAAGCUCACGGUAGUUCAUUGGGUUUUGACCUCCUUAGUGGUUUCCCAUGCGUAAUAUACUUUUCAUAAAUUGCUUUAACUUUAUUCUUCUUUAACUUUCUAACCUUACCUGUUUCUUUCCCUUCGGGUUUGUACAACUGGCACUUUAGUCCAUCCUCUUCUUCCUAGUGUUCUUGUCGUGUGUGCUAGGGCCACUGCCGACAUCAAUGGGUUGCUCGUCCGUGACGCCCAUCGUUUGAGCUGCAAGAAGAAGACAUGUAAGUAUUGUGUGGGGGGACAGGGUAAGCUAGGAGGGAUUUUACGAGAAUUUGCUGCAAUCACACAAAAACUAUAAUAAACAUAGACACAACAAAAAAAGAUGCAAACAUGAAACAAGGUGUUCAAAGAAAAGAAGAAAUGACGACGAAGGUAGGAAGCAUACCUGGGAUAGUAGGGCUGCCAUCAUCAUCUGAGACAGGGAACACAGGGAUGUUGGGGUAGAUAUUGCUGCAUGUUUUGUUAUUAUUUGUAGGCUCGUCCAUGCCAUGCAUCAAGUUGAAGUCUUCAGACCCCUUUGGGAACAGCUCACAUGAAGACUCGUCAUCCCAAACACCGGCUGUUGCACUCCUGGGUGCAUCAUGGAAUGGAGGGGGGCUCUGAGGUGGCACGUGUACUUCCACCUCCAUACUCACUCUUUGUUGCUGAUGAGUUUGACCAGCAUCUUCUGCAACUUCUUGGUUUUUCUCCAUCUCCCCAACAACUUCAUCUUUGCUCAUCACUGCAACCGUACCUUCAGCUUGAUCACCAAUGCAUGAAGUUGCAGCUUGAGCAUCCUUCUCUUUCUCACGAGCCUCGUCCAUGGGAGGUGUUGCAGCUUCAGCUUCAUUCUUGAGCAUCCUUCUCUUUCUCACGAGCCUCGUCCAUGGUAGGUGUUGCAGCUUCAUCUUGAGCAUCCUUAGCUUUCUCCACAGCUUCAUCUGUGGUAUUAGCGAUGGCAUCUCCCACGUCACGAAGCAUAGAGGCCAUCCGGCUGGAUUGCAAUCGCUGUAAACUUUGCCCAAACUUGCGUAUUGCAUCAUCAACCUCGGUUGAGAAAUUUUCCUUGUGCUUGUCAUACAAUGUUUGGAACUGAGCUGGUACCUACAAGAAGGCACGUAUUUCAAAAAUUAGUCAUUUUACAUGUAUCUUUAAAACAAAACAAAAUAAUGCAUGCAACUUUUGUAGAAAAAGGUACCUUUAGAUCAUCCAUGCUAGGGAACGGUUGUUGAAGCCAAUCAUCGAACGAUGAGGAUAAAUUUGGUAGGACCUCAACAUUUUCUUGAGCUUCAGGUACUUCAUUUUUGGCUUCCUUGGCCAUUAGUUGCUUCAGCACCAGCGCCCUGCCCGGUGGCUGCUUCACGAUCAACUUCUGGACCAAUAACCUCAGCAUACGGAGUGUUGCACAGAGUCCGAAACUAGGAACAAAAAGAAACAAAAAAUACAUGAGGGAGAAAUAAAAAUUGGUUGGUAUGCAUGAGAUGGAACCAAAACCUGUGAUGCGGUCAAAAACAGCAGCUAUAAAACACACAUAUGCACACGCUAAAAAAACUGAAAACAUGUGCAACAUACAAAAGGUAGCUAGCAACAAAAAAUCUGAAACUGGCAGUUGCUACAUGUUGCAUCCAUAUGGUUCAUUUGCUGCAUCCAUAAUGUUAAUUUGCUACAUGCUGCAUCCUAAUUGUUGCAUCCAUAUUGUUCAUUUGCUGCAUCCAUAAUGUUAAUUUGCUAUAUGAUGCAUCCUAAUUGUUGCAAUCAUAAUGUUAAUUUGCUACAUGUUGCAUCCUAAUUGUUGCAUCCAUAUGGUUCAUUUGAUGCAUCAUAAUGUAAUUGCUACAUGNNNNNNNNNNNNNNNNNNNNNNNNNNNNNNNNNNNNNNNNNNNNNNNNNNNNNNNNNNNNNNNNNNNNNNNNNNNNNNNNNNNNNNNNNNNNNNNNNNNNUGGGCGCUGCNCCGGGCGACGCUGUGGGCGACUCCGCAUGGGUGCCCGGACGGAAGGGGCKACUGCUCCUCGUGCAUCCGSCAGUGGCGGCUCUCCYKGCAUGGUAGUGGGAGGUGGAGGCCACCGGGGGACCGAUAUGGGUGACACGACGGGCGGCGACGACGACAGAGAUGGGGGACACGGCGGGCGGCGGACGGGGAGGGGAAGGAGGAGGCGGACGGCGGAGGGGGAGGAGGAGGCGGGACGGGGGAGGGGGAGGAGGGAGGCGGACGGGGAGGGGGAGUUGGACGCGGAGGCGACGGCGAAGGUGCAGGCCAGGGCGACUGGCUCCCGUUAAUUCUUCCUAAAUUUAUGUACUUGAUUGGCUCCUUUUUUUCGUGGAGGUGCAACAGUUUUUUGCUGUAGGAGGAGGUGGAGCACGGUCAGCCUUAGUUAAUUUGGUAAAUGCACACGGUGGUGGUGCAUGGAUGGUGGAGGCCGUUAGAUUGUAAUUGUGUCUAUUGUGUGGUGUGAUUGGUGUUUGUUUUGUGGGGUNNNNNNNNNNNNNNNNNNNNNNNNNNNNNNNNNNNNNNNNNNNNNNNNNNNNNNNNNNNNNNNNNNNNNNNNNNNNNNNNNNNNNNNNNNNNNNNNNNNNUAAAAGAUCGUCACUCCAUGUGAAGUAUAUCACGGUGAAAAGAAGCACCGGACAGGUCAGAUAACAAAUUUAAAAGGAUACCCUUUUUCAAAUAUGUUUACGCGAUUUUAAGAAUAUAUACUGUUUUAUGWAAUACAUUAUCCUGAAGUAGAAAUACAAAAGAAAUAAAACAAGACAUGACCCAUAUUCUCCCUGGUGAACAAUAAAUUAAGAACAAAUAGGAAAUAAAUUCUAAAAUUUAUGAUUUUUUUUGUAGAUCUUUGCCAAUUUUCACGCGAAACGGGAUAUCAAUUCUUUGUUGGUGAAAAGACAAAAUUAAGUGUACCAUUUAAUGAUAACAUUUAUUGUUUGUACUUUUUUUUUUUGUCUACAGGUCAACAUGCUUAAGCUUUUCCUGAGGUAACAUUUGAGUGUGACAAUAAACACAUAUAUUUCGUUAGUAGUCAAACCCGUGUACACAUUAUUAUUCAGUCUACUUCCGCCCAGAGACGCCCGGGCAAAUGGUAAUUAUGCAUCGCCCAGUUAUAGAAUUCAAACUAAAACUUACUANNNNNNNNNNNNNNNNNNNNNNNNNNNNNNNNNNNNNNNNNNNNNNNNNNNNNNNNNNNNNNNNNNNNNNNNNNNNNNNNNNNNNNNNNNNNNNNNNNNNUGGUUCCUUUAGUUGGAAGACAUUAGGGAAAAUAAGAGAGAUUCCCCUAAAUAAGAKAUAUUUUCGUUAAAACAUAGAAGAGAUGUGUGACAUCCCCCGAUUUAGCUACAAUAACCAUUUUAAUUAAGUUACAGCGAUGGUGACGAUUAAUCUAAAUACUUUUGCUAAACAGUGCUUGAUCAAACUUCGGAUCAUAUCUAAUUUUAUAUUCCUAUUGAAAUUCAAAAUUCCAAUAGUAAGUGGAAUAAAUAUUUUGUAAAACAAGAAAAAUAAAAUCAUGGUUGAAUUCCAAAUAUUCACUAGGAAAUUAUAAAAUAUGACACCAUAUUUUAUCAAGUCAUCUCGUCCCUCAAAAUAAUUAAAAUACAGGCCAAAUCAUUUAUGAAAUGACCUUUUAAAUUAUGAAAUUUUCAAAUAAAUUUAAAAACGGMCCCMAAAAUGACUUGUGGCAGUCCCUAAUAUUGCAACACUAAUAUUAGGCCAAGUGGWAWUUUUUUACAAAAGCUAUUUUUCUCAAUAGAAAUAAAUAAAAAUARRAAAAAGACAAAAGGAAAAAAAGUAAAAGAAAAAGGAAAAAGACCCUUUACCCCUACGGGCCGGACCCAACUUCUCUCCUCUACUCCGGCCCAAUCUCACCUCUCCUAACCCUACUCCUUUUCCUACUUCCCCUCCCCUCUCCCCCACCCCCGUACGACCACCCUAGUCUANNNNNNNNNNNNNNNNNNNNNNNNNNNNNNNNNNNNNNNNNNNNNNNNNNNNNNNNNNNNNNNNNNNNNNNNNNNNNNNNNNNNNNNNNNNNNNNNNNNNAGGAUAACUUGCUCUUACUUUGUAGAAUUUGAGUAAUUGAUUUAGUUAUAUCAUUCAUGGUUUGUGUGACAAGAGACACACUAGAAUCAUUUUUAUAAAUGUUUCCAUGAGUACCAUAAAGUAUCUAUAAAUACCACACAAUGUUGAGAUGCACAUAUCUUUUGAAUGUNUUCAGGGAAUAAUGAGUUGGCUCAUUUAGAAUUGUAAGGUGAGAGUUCUUUAAAUUAAUUUCCCUUAUGGCACAUGUGGUGCACNUAAAAUCUGAUGAUUUGGGAAAUUUUGCAACUUGUUAAGUUGUGACCAAUAGAAUUGUCAAUAAUUUUCUAAACAACCCCAAACCUGGAUUGUAAGGCUUAAAACCAAAUAUUUUGUAAGAUUUAGAAAAUUAUUGUGUACGCAACAAAACUGAGUAUKAAUUGAUUCAUACAUGCAAAAAUUAUCAAAUAUAAUGUCCAAGAAAUAGGAUAUUUGACAUUUAUACUACAUGUAGUAGUACGACUAUAGGCAAACAAUAUUUUGGGAAUAAUCGGGAUGUUACAUGAGGUCUCCCAUAUUACGGAAAAAUGAGUUAUGCAAACAUAUCAUAGGCACAAACGAAUCGAUCAUUCUUUUAUUUCACUAUAUUUUUGGUUCUCCUUCUGAUGAAGAUUCGAGAACAUCAUUUACCAGAAUAGUUUCUGGUCGUAUGUUUACAAAUUAAAUACCCCAAUGAACUUAUUUGCCUUUUAAUAAACUCAUGGUGUGGUUUGACCAUAUGUUUGAGGGUUUGGUAAUCAUAUGUACGAUAUUUAUGUAACCACACAUUUGACAAACUUAAGAGUUGUCUUUGUGAUCAUUUGGAAAUGAUUAAUUCCCCAAUUAAAAGACAAUUUUCUCUAUUUGUUUGUCUUUAGCCUCCACUUUUACUUUGUAAUUCCUCAUGGUUCUAUUUUGGGACCACUAACUUACUACUNNNNNNNNNNNNNNNNNNNNNNNNNNNNNNNNNNNNNNNNNNNNNNNNNNNNNNNNNNNNNNNNNNNNNNNNNNNNNNNNNNNNNNNNNNNNNNNNNNNNCCGUCCGCCUCCUCCUCCCCCUCCCCGUCCGCCUCCUCCUCCCCCUCGCCGUCCGCCUCCUCCUUCCCCUCCCCGUCCGCCGCCCGCCGUGUCCCCCAUCUCUGUCGUCGUCGCCGCCCGUCGUGUCCCCCAUAUCGGUCCCCGGUGGCCUCCACCUCCACUACAUGCAGGAGAGCCGCCAUGCGGAUGCACGAGGAGCAGUCGCCCCUUCCUCCGGGCACCCAUGCGGAGUCGCCCACAGCGUCGCCCGGCGCAGCGCCCACUGCGGCCCUUAUUCGCCGACCGGGUGCAAUGCCUCAUCUCGCCACACCUCACCCGGCGGACCUCCCACCGCGCUGGUGAAAAGACCUCGAUGACGCCUAGAGGGGGGUGAAUAGGCUAUUUAAAAGCUUUUUCAGAUUUGGCUUGAACCUAAUGCGGAAAUCAACUAAGAGGGUACUUGUCAAGCACAAAUCCUAAAUGCACUAGGCACUGCAACGUGUAUCAACAACACGAUCUACCAAGAUGGACACAAUACAGUUACUAACAAGCACAAGCAAGUUACACAAACUUACUUGANNNNNNNNNNNNNNNNNNNNNNNNNNNNNNNNNNNNNNNNNNNNNNNNNNNNNNNNNNNNNNNNNNNNNNNNNNNNNNNNNNNNNNNNNNNNNNNNNNNNUUUAAAUGUUUUUGGCACUACAGUUUUGGUUGCAAGAUUUAUUUGAAACAUAUGAAGCAAAUUUUAUUAAUGGUGGAAGCUUUUUUAUUUGCAGUUACAACAUUGAAAAGCAAGCAGCAGAUUUCUAUACCAGGGAGGUAUUUUCCAAGUUCCAAAAGUUGUUGACUAAAUCAACAUGUUUUGGGCUGCAACAUCAAGUCCAGGGGGAUUCCAUAAUCUUUCAUCUUGUUGCGAAUGAUGGUGCCAACCGUAAAGUUUACGUUGUGCGAGUUGAUCCUGAAGAUGAGAGGUACAUGUGCAGUUGCAACAUGUUUGAGAUGUGUGGGUUGAUCUGCCCACAUAUCAUCCGUGUCAUGGUGCACCUAAACGUGCAAACGAUCCCUACAACUUACAUGCUUGAAAGAUGGUCCAAGCGAACAACUGACGUAGCACCUGAUCCCGGUGAUGGGCAUAGCGAUAUGCACUUUGGUGUCCCAACGACAAACAGACUCAAGUUCAACUCUCUUUGCAGGAAGUUUGGCAAGCUCGCUUCUGAUGCAUGCUUUAGUGAUGAAGCUUAUAAUUUCGUGUCUGGACUUAUUAAUCAAGGAAUUGUUGGAGUUGCUGCAAUGAAAGCUAGAGCGAGGGAUGGGGUUCCACCAGCCGGAGAAGCCCAAGGCCAUGAAGCCGAUCAACAAGUGCAUGCUUCAACAGGUCCAGUAACAGGGCAGCAGGAACCAACCCCCGUAGGUUUGCGGAACCCGCCAAAGUCUGCGAAAAAAGGGAGGCCAAAGGAAAAAGAGAAGCGAAGGAAGCCACUUAUUGAGAUACGAGAAGAUGAGAUGAGGAAGAAUGCAAAGAAAGACGGAGCAAAAAUGAAGAAAGCUCCAAAGCCAAGGGAUAAGAAGACACCUUGCAUUUUUUGUGGAGAUGAGGAUCACAAUGCCAAGAGCUGCAAACUGCUUGCUGAUAUGCUUGCUGCUAGUGCGGCCACAAAACUUUCGGAUGUAGAAAUGGUCCUUACCCUUUAGGAUGUUUCAAUGAUGAUGAAAAUAUGUAUUGCUUUGUGACCUUGCUUGUAGAAACAACUUUAGAAUGCAACAUGUUACUACAUGUGUGAAUUUAAAAAUAUUUAAAUUCAUAAGUUUGUGAAGCUGUGGUUUUUAGUAGAAUGAUGAAUACUAAGUUUGUUGCAAUGGUUGCAUGGUUUUUUUAUAAUUAAAUAUAAUUACGGAGAAAGCAGUCUUGCUUGUAACAAAUGUAGUCAGCAGUUGUAGCAUACACAGACAGUAGUUGAAGCUUAUUUUUGAAUGAUGCAACCGUACAUGAUUUCUGCUUUGUUGGGACGCCUAAAGCUUGUCGGCGUCCUCGCCGCCGCUCGUCCCCGGUGUGCAGCUUGCAUAAAAAUAGAGCACUGAGCACCCCAGUGGUACAACUCACGACCAAAAAAGCUAUAAAUUGGCGACCGAAAAAGCUACAACCUCGUACAAAAAAGCUUUAACAUGGUACGAAAAAGCUACAGCUGAUGUCGCAGCUCCGCCAAGCUCCCAGGCUUUGGCUGUGGAACAAAAUUUUGUAGUGUAUGUGUAAUGGUUGUAAAACAUGGAUGAAGCAUUUUUUGUCAUCUUGAAGCAAAUAAUUUACCAAAAAGUAGCACUACAAUUAUUACAUGAAAAACAUGUUUGUAGAAAAAGUGUACUGUUGAAGCUUUUAUAGAUUAUGCUUCGAGCAAAUAUGUUAAAAUAUACACUAAAAGAUUCAGCAAUGGACAAAAGUGUCGUAUUCAUCGUGCAAACAUGUUGGCACCAAAAAUGCUUCAUCCGGAUUCAGACAUACAAAGUAAAACAAGUACCAUUGGUUCAUACAUGUCGCAAACAAAAACAAAGUUUAAUGGAAUUAUCAUUCUUUACACAAGUACCAUUGGUGCUAUCAAGAUGCUACCAUUUGAGACAUUAUCUAGACCUAAUGAAAAAGCCCGUUCGCCUUGAACCAUCCUGAAAUCAGUCUGCCAACUCUUCCCUGAAUGCCAGCUCCAUUGAGGCUGUGUUGAGUGAGUGAUGGAUCAGGUUGUACACCCAUUCCAUGCGGUACCGCGCAAUGUCUUCCUGUAAAACAUGAAAAGUUGAGAAGCAGUUUGUUACUUGCUAUUCUUUUUGCUGCAUAGAUUUUGAACAAACAAAAAAGUAGAUUUAACAAAAUUAGAAAAACCAACAAAGAUAAAAAUGGAUACCUGCUCAAACCCUUUCAUUGCCUUUCCAUCAAAGUUUUCCGCAUACUUGACAGCAAAGAAACCACAAUCACACCUGUGAGUUGACAUGAAAAAAAUGACAAUCCCGUAUAUAGGGAAAACAACAAACUUGUUUCAAAGGAACACAUGGUUUGAAGCAUAUGAAAAACUCACAGGUUAUUUUGCUUUGGAUAGUCUUCUAGAUCAGCCCGGGUGAAGGAUGCAACAUUUACAUUAAAUGCAUCACACUCUUGUGUGAGGGUUGUAAAGUUUGUGAUCUACCACCAAAAACACACACAAAAAGUUUGAAAAGAACAUGUGAAACAAUUAAAAGAUGACACCAGCAAAUUUAAGUAGUCGGAGCGAGGGCACACACAACUAUAAAAAAGAGAGAAAAGAGCUGACCAGGUUGUUUGCCUGCUUCUUCAAGGUCAAUGGUUUUCCUUUUGCACUAAUUGAGUCAAAUGCAUUCCAUUGCUUGUGAAGCAAGUUUGCGCAAACAACUAUCCAAUGACACUCAUGAACAACGGCAAACCAUAGCUGAAAAAUGCAAAAAGAAGGCAAAGGUACUCCUAACAUUAACAAGAAAUGUUACGUGUGUCGCAUCGCUAGAACUAGAUUUGAAAGUAUUUGUGCUGUGAAAACAGAAAUGGCUUGCGGUGACUUACCAGGUCGUAUUUUUGAACCUUGAACUUAGUCACAGCCCUUUCAAGCUCAGCCAUGAGUGCAUUUGAUUAGAAAAUUGAUGGGUCUUGCUUGAGUAGAGACUGCUUGAAAUAGCAACAAAAAGGAUUACUGUCUAAUGAAUGCAAAGUGAAAAAAGCAUGAAGCAUUUCUUUGUUUUUACAAAACUUACUGCCCUGUAGACUGAGAAGAAGUAUUUUUUACAGCCCUAUUGUGUGUUGCAUAAGAUGCCAUAUUGAGCCGCUCGAUACACAACGACAUGACCUCAUCAUUCAUGUCCCCUCGGGGCUUCAAGCAUGCAAGAAACUUCUUGUACCCCACAUAAAACCCACCUAUUUUGAUGAAAGGUGUCCUGGUACAAUAGUUGCAAGCGAAUGAAUAAUUUGUUUCAACAACAUCAAUUUAAGACACUAGAUAGGGGAUAGGAAGCUCACGGUAGUUCAUUGGGUUUUGACCUCCUUAGUGGUUUCCCAUGCGUAAUAUACUUUUCAUAAAUUGCUUUAACUUUAUCUUCUUUAACUUCAACCUUCUGUUUCUUUCCCUUGGGUUUGACAACUGGCACUUUAGCCAUCCUCUUCUUCCUAGUGUUCUUGUCGUGUGUGCUAGGGCCACUGCCGACAUCAAUGGGUUGCUCGUCCGUGACGCCCAUCGUUUGAGCUGCAAGAAGAAGACAUGUAAGUAUUGUGUGGGGGGACAGGGUAAGCUAGGAGGGAUUUUACGAGAAUUUGCUGCAAUCACACAAAAACUAUAAUAAACAUAGACACAACAAAAAAAGAUGCAAACAUGAAACAAGGUGUUCAAAGAAAAGAGAAAUGACGACGAAGGUAGGAAGCAUACCUGGGAUAGUAGGGCUGCCAUCAUCAUCUGAGACAGGGAACACAGGGAUGUUGGGGUAGAUAUUGCUGCAUGUUUUGUUAUUAUUUGUAGGCUCGUCCAUGCCAUGCAUCAAGUUGAAGUCUUCAGACCCCUUUGGGAACAGCUCACAUGAAGACUCGUCAUCCCAAACACCGGCUGUUGCACUCCUGGGUGCAUCAUGGAAUGGAGGGGGGCUCUGAGGUGGCACGUGUACUUCCACCUCCAUACUCACUCUUUGUUGCUGAUGAGUUUGACCAGCAUCUUCUGCAACUUCUUGGUUUUUCUCCAUCUCCCCAACAACUUCAUCUUUGCUCAUCACUGCAACCGUACCUUCAGCUUGAUCACCAAUGCAUGAAGUUGCAGCUUGAGCAUCCUUCUCUUUCUCACGAGCCUCGUCCAUGGGAGGUGUUGCAGCUUCAGCUUCAUCUUGAGCAUCCUUCUCUUUCUCACGAGCCUCGUCCAUGGUAGGUGUUGCAGCUUCAUCUUGAGCAUCCUUAGCUUUCUCCACAGCUUCAUCUGUGGUAUUAGCGAUGGCAUCUCCCACGUCACGAAGCAUAGAGGCCAUCCGGCUGGAUUGCAAUCGCUGUAAACUUUGCCCAAACUUGCGUAUUGCAUCAUCAACCUCGGUUGAGAAAUUUUCCUUGUGCUUGUCAUACAAUGUUUGGAACUGAGCUGGUACCUACAAGAAGGCACGUAUUUCAAAAAUUAGUCAUUUUACAUGUAUCUUUAAAACAAAACAAAAUAAUGCAUGCAACUUUUGUAGAAAAAGGUACCUUUAGAUCAUCCAUGCUAGGGAACGGUUGUUGAAGCCAAUCAUCGAACGAUGAGGAUAAAUUUGGUAGGACCUCAACAUUUUCUUGAGCUUCAGGUACUUCAUUUUGGCUUCCUUGGCCAUUAGUUGCUUCAGCACCAGCGCCCUGCCCGGUGGCUGCUUCACGAUCAACUUCUGGACCAAUAACCUCAGCAUACGGAGUGUUGCACAGAGUCCGAAACUAGGAACAAAAAGAAACAAAAAAUCAUGAGGGAGAAAUAAAAAUUGGUUGGUAUGCAUGAGAUGGAACCAAAACCUGUGAUGCGGUCAAAAACAGCAGCUAUAAAACACACAUAUGCACACGCUAAAAAAACUGAAAACAUGUGCAACAUACAAAAGGUAGCUAGCAACAAAAAAUCUGAAACUGGCAGUUGCUACAUGUUGCAUCCAUAUGGUUCAUUUGCUGCAUCCAUAAUGUUAAUUUGCUACAUGUUGCAUCCUAAUUGUUGCAUCCAUAUGGUUCAUUUGCUGCAUCCAUAAUGUUAAUUUGCUACAUGCUGCAUCCUAAUUGUUGCAUCCAUAUUGUUCAUUUGCUGCAUCCAUAAUGUUAAUUUGCUAUAUGAUGCAUCCUAAUUGUUGCAAUCAUAAUGUUAAUUUGCUACAUGUUGCAUCCUAAUUGUUGCAUCCAUAUNNNNNNNNNNNNNNNNNNNNNNNNNNNNNNNNNNNNNNNNNNNNNNNNNNNNNNNNNNNNNNNNNNNNNNNNNNNNNNNNNNNNNNNNNNNNNNNNNNNNUGACAAGAUCAAGAUAAGCAUUCUUGAGCACUACAUGCUUGAUUCCUGUGGAUGUUCACAUGAUGGACAAAUGAAGAUAAAUACAUAAGCUAGGCUUUCCACAUUGUGUAUGGGAAAGCUACUUGAAGACUUCAUCAUGUCCUGCUUUCAACUUGAGCCAAGAAGGAACAACAACAUCAAGCUCAAGUGAAAGGGCUNNNNNNNNNNNNNNNNNNNNNNNNNNNNNNNNNNNNNNNNNNNNNNNNNNNNNNNNNNNNNNNNNNNNNNNNNNNNNNNNNNNNNNNNNNNNNNNNNNNAGUACUCUUUUAUGAUUCUUGAGUCCUUAGGGAUCCCGCACUAUUAAGAGGGGAUCACAGGUUUUGCGAUAAACUUGCUCAAACUACAUCAUCACUUUCUGCUCAGACCACAUCUCCACUGUUUUGUUGUUAUCUUAAAACAAAACCAGUGCCUCGGACAUCCGGCUUUCUCCGGACGUCCGAGGACCGGACGACUCACUAGUUCGGAAAUCCGGAAUCCUAUAGUAGAGAAAUCAGAGCCAUAUAACUCGGACUUCCGGCUACCUCCGGACGNNNNNNNNNNGAACCAGUGUCUCGGACAUCCGGCUUUCUCCGGACAUCCGAGGACCGGACGACUGACUAGUUCGGAAAUCCGGAAUCCUAUACUAGAGAAAUCAGAGCCAUAUAACUCGGACUUCCGGCUACCUCCGGACGNNNNNNNNNNGCGAGGCCCGGAUGUCUGGCCAAGUUCCGGAAAUCCGGAAGCCUGCACCAGUAGAAGUUGUGUUCUAUAUCUCGGAAAUUCGGCUCCCUCCGGACGACCGAGCGCCGGACGUCCGACACCCGUCGGAAAUCCGAAACCUACCACCAGUAGAAGUUGAGUUCUAUAUCUCGGAAAUCCGGCUCCCUCCGGNNNNNNNNNNCCGAGGCCCGGAUGUCCGUCCAAGUCCCGGAAAUCCGGAAGCCUGCACCAGUAGAAGUUGAGUUCUAUAUCUCGGAAAUCCGGCUCCCUCCGGACGACCGAGCGCCGGACGUCCGACACUCGUCGGAAAUCCGGAACCUACCACCAGUAGAUGUUGAGCUGUAUAACACGGACUUCCGGGCCACUCCGGACGUCCGUAUGCUGAUGAAUUCAAAUAUGUUCAGGCACAUCUACAGGCCUCGGACGACCGACCCCCGUCGGACGUCCGGCCGCUGAUGAAUUCAGAAGAGUUCCAGUCAUGCCUAAAAGUCUCAGACGUCCGACCCCUGUGGGACGUCCGGCCCCUCACGGACGCCCGGACUUCCGACAACUGUCGGACGUCCGGACCCUGUGGGACUUAAAGUGUCCCCAACGGCUCUUUUUCUCUCAACACUAUAAAUACCCCCUCCCACUUCGUGAGAGGGCGGCCCAACACAGCCUUAUCCUCAUAAGAACACACUUCCACCUCACACACAUUUGCUCACUCCAAAUCUUAGAUACUAAGAGCAUUUGUGAGCCCCUUUGAGAGUUGUUCNNNNNNNNNNUUCUCCCUCUCCUUCUCUCAACCCAAGCUAUUUGUGAUUUGAGCAAGUUUUGAGCAUUCCCCGUGAUCUUGUUACUCUUGGAGGUUGGAGACUCCUAGGCGGUAGGAGUUCUUUGGAGAGUAAUCAAUCCAUGUGAUUUCCCCCAGAAAAGUUUGUGAGGGUUUGGAAGCCACCUCAAAGGCUUACCACUAGUGGUUGAGAAACACCUUCGUGGUGUUAUCUCAAAGGGAGAAUAGGGUGAGCCUUCGUGGCAUUGGUGUGCCUUCGUGGUAACAUCCACCUCUCUAACGGUGAGUAGCUUCCCUCCAAGGAAGUGAACAUCGGGAUACAUCUUCGUCUCAGUGACCUUGGUUAUCCUUAACCCUAACUCCUUACUNNNNNNNNNNNNNNNNNNNNNNNNNNNNNNNNNNNNNNNNNNNNNNNNNNNNNNNNNNNNNNNNNNNNNNNNNNNNNNNNNNNNNNNNNNNNNNNNNNNNCAUCAGUCCCUUUGACGUUAGUGGUGCAGAGUGAUGAUCAGCGAAUAAAAGUAUAUACUCAAGUAUGGAUCAUCGGUACCCCUUUUAUAAUUCUUGAGUCUUUAGGGAUCCCACACUAUUAAGAGGGGAUCACAGGUUUUGUGAUGAACUUGCUCAAACUAGAUAUCCACUGUUCUGCUCAUACCACAUCUCCACUGCUCUGCUGUUAUCAGAAAACAGGACCAGUGCCUCGGUCAUCCGGCCUCCUCCGGACGUCCGAGGGUCGGACGUCCGACCUGCUUAGGAAAUCCGGAAUCCUCUACGAGAGAAAUCAGAGCCAUAUAACUCGGACUUCCGGCUCCCUCCGGACGUCCGAGGGCCGUUCGUCCGACCAGCUUCGGAAAUCCGGAGCUUUGCACCAGAAGAACUUGAGCCAUAUAACUNNNNNNNNNNACAUCCGGCCUCCUCCGAACGUCCGAGGGCCAGACGUCCGACCUGCUUCGGAAAUCCGGAAUCCUUUACCAGAGAAAUCAGAGCCAUAUAACUCGGACUCCCGGCUCCCUCCGGACGUCCGAGGGCCGGUCGUCCGACCAACUUCGGAAAUCCGGAGCUUUGCACCAGAAGAACUUGAGCCAUAUAACUCAGACUUCCGGCUCCCUCCGGACGUUCGAGGGCCAGACGCCCGUCCCCUUUCGGAAAUGUGGAAUCUUGCACCAGAGAAGUUUGAGUCGAAUAACUCAGACUUCCGGCCUUCUCCGGACGUCCGGUCCUUGUUCAACUCCACAGUGGUUCCAGAUAUAUUUAUAGCCCUCGGACGACCGACCCCUGUCGGACGUCCGACUCCUUGUGGACGCCCGGACAUCCGUGAACUACCGGAUGUCUGACCCCUGUGUGACUUAAAGUGUCCCCAACGGCUGUUUUACUCUCCCCACUAUAUAUACCCCCUCCCACUUCGUGAGAGGGUGCCCAACACAACCAUAUCCUCAUAAGAACACAUUUCUACCUCACACACAUUUGCUUACAUCAAAUCUUAGAUCCCAAGAGCAUUUGUGAGCCCCUUUGAGAGUUGUUCCAAUCAAAAGAUAGAUCGUCUCCCUCUCCUUCUCUCAACCCAAGAAAUUUGAGAUUUGAGCAAGUUUUGAGCAUUCCCCGUGAUCUUGUUACUCUUGGAGGUUGGAGACUCCUAGGCAGUAGGAGUUCUUCGGAGAGUAAUCAAUCCGUGUGAUUACCCCCCGGAAAAGUUUGUGAGGGUUUGGAAGCCACCUCAAAGGCUUACCACUAGUGGUUGGGAAACGCAUUCGUGGUGUUAUCUCAAAGGGAGAAUAGGGUGAGCCUUCGUGGCGUUGGUGUGCCUUCGUGGUAACAUCCACCUCUCUAACGGUGACUAGCUNNNNNNNNNNCUAUUUGAGAUUUGAGCAAGUUUUGAGCAUUCCACGUGAUCCUGUUACUCUUGGAGGUUGGAGACUCAUAGGCGGUAGGAGUUCUUCGGAGAGGAAUCAAUCCGUGUGAUUACCCCCCGGAAAAGUUUGUGAGUGUUUGGAAGCCACCUCAAAGGCUUACCACUAGUGGUUGGGAAACGCCUUCGUGGUGUUAUCGCAAAGGGAGAAUAGGGUGAGCCUUCGUGGAGUUGGUGUGCCUUCGUGGUAACAUCCACCUCUCUAACGGUGACUAGCUNNNNNNNNNNNNNNNNNNNNNNNNNNNNNNNNNNNNNNNNNNNNNNNNNNNNNNNNNNNNNNNNNNNNNNNNNNNNNNNNNNNNNNNNNNNNNNNNNNNNGCAUAGCCUCUAUGGACACGAGCAUAUCUAGCACCACACAUAGUGUAAAUUAUUGUGCUGAUAGGUCAUGCAUUUCAUCUAAAGAUUCCUUGACAAAUGUCUGUGGUGAUAUGCCUGCUUCCUCGUGUCCUCUUGAUCAAAAUAUCUUGUUUCUCCCUAGUUGCUCUAUGACUAACCAUUUAGGGGAAAUCAAGAAAUAUGAAGUACUUUUGGCUAAUGAAGAAUCUGAUUCACCAAAAGAAUCAUCAUCAACUCCUCCAGUUCACAUGUGCCUCAUGGCAAGAGGUAAUAAUGAGGUAUCAUCUUCCCUGUGCAAUAACGAUGAUAUUUGCGAUGAGGAUGAUGAUGAUGACUUGACUGAAAAUAUCCAUGUGAUCAGUAAACAUCUUCAUAAAGCUAAAAAUAACGCUCUUCAAAGAUUCCAAGAUGUUCUUGCUUACUUUGAAAAUUGUAAUGAUUUACUUAAUCAUGAACAAGCUAAAAGUGAACAACUUGAACAUGAACUUGANNNNNNNNNNUAUGUGAUCAGUAAAAUUCUUCAUAAAGCUAAAAAUAACUCUCUUCAAAGGUUCCAAGAUGUUCUUGCUUAUUUUGAAAACUGUAAUGAUUCACUUAAUCAUGAACAAGCUAAAAGUGAACAACUUGAACAUGAACUUGAGAAGAGCCAUCAAGCAUGUAGAGACUUAAGAUCUUCAAAAGGAGAGAUUGAAGUUGCUCAUGAUAAACUUAAAAAGGAUUUUGAGGUCCUUCUCCUUGAAUGCAAGAAUCUCAAGGGAGAGCUCAUCAAAACCUCUAAGAUCUAUGAGGAGCUUCAAUCUACUCAUGAGAAGUCUCUAAUCGCUACUUACUCCUCUCAUAUUGUUGAUGAUACUUGUACAUCUAACCCUAUCUCUUUUGAAGUAUCAACAUUGAAGGAGAAUGUUGAGCUACGUGCUCAACUUAAUUUACUAACUAGCGAUUAUGGGAAAUUGGAAGAAAACCAUGUAAUGCUCACAAGCUCUCAUGCCGAUCUUCUAACAUCCCAUAAUGUGCAAAAGUUAGCUCAUGAGGCUAUCAUCACCAAGGUAACAUCAAGUGAGCCUCAUGUGGACAAUGGCACCACUUCUAAUCAAAGUACUAUAUUUCCAUGUGCUAGUCCUCGUAAUUCGUCUACUCANNNNNNNNNNNNNNNNNNNNNNNNNNNNNNNNNNNNNNNNNNNNNNNNNNNNNNNNNNNNNNNNNNNNNNNNNNNNNNNNNNNNNNNNNNNNNNNNNNNNCCCGGAACCCAUUCGUCAUUCCCGGUACAUUCCCGGUAACUCCGAAAACCUUCCGGUAAUCAAAUGGAGGUCAUCCAUAUAUCAAUCUUCGUUCCGGACCAUUCCGGAAACCCUCGUGACGUCCGUGAUCUCAUCCGGGACUCCGAACAACAUUCGGUAACCAACCAUAUAACUCAAAUACGCAUAAAACAACGUCGAACCUUAAGUGUGCAGACCCUGCGGGUUCGAGAACUAUGUAGACAUGACCCGAGAGACUCCUCGGUCAAUAUCCAAUAGCGGGACCUGGAUGCCCAUAUUGGAUCCUACAUAUUCUACGAAGAUCUUAUCGUUUGAACCUCAGUGUCAAGGAUUCAUAUAAUCCUGUAUGUCAUUCCCUUUGUCCUUCGGUAUGUUACUUGCCCGAGAUUCGAUCGUCAGUAUCCGCAUACCUAUUUCAAUCUCGUUUACUGGCAAGUCUCUUUACUCGUUCCGUAAUACAAGAUCCCGCAACUUACACUAAGUUACAUUGCUUGCAAGGCUUGUGUGUGAUGUUGUAUUACCGAGUGGGCCCCGAGAUACCUCUCCGUCACACGGAGUGACAAAUCCCAGUCUUGAUCCAUACUAACUCAACUAACACCUUCGGAGAUACCUGUAGAGCAUAUUUAUAGUCACCCAGUUACGUUGCGACGUUUGAUACACACAAAGCAUUCCUCCGGUGUCAGUGAGUUAUAUGAUCUCAUGGUCAUAGGAACAAAACAGUAGCAACAAAAUGACACGAUCAACAUGCUACGUCUAUUAGUUUGGGUCUAGUCCAUCACAUGAUUCUCCUAAUGAUGUGAUCCCGUUAUCACGUGACAACACUUGCCUAUGGCCAGGAAACCUUGACCAUCUUUGAUCAACGAGCUAGUCAACUAGAGGCUUACUAGGGACAGUGUUUUGUCUAUGUAUCCACACAAGUAUUGUGUUUCCAAUCAAUACAAUUAUAGCAUGGAUAAUAAACGAUUAUCAUGAACUAAGAAAUAUAAUAAUAACUAAUUUAUUAUUGCCUCUAGGGCAUAUUUCCAACAGUCUCCCACUUGCACUAGAGUCAAUAAUCUAGUUCACAUCACCAUGUGAUUCCAACGAAUCCAACACCCAUAUAGUUAUGGGGUCUGAUCACGUCUUGCUCGUGAGAGAGGUUUUAGUCAACGGUUCUGAAACUUUCAGAUCCGUGCGUUCUUUACAAAUCUUUAUGUCAUCUUAUAGAUGCUGCUACUACGUGCUAUUCGGAAAAGCUCCAAAUAUCUACUCUACUGUACGAAUCCGUUUCACUACUCAUAGUUAUUCGGAUUAGUGUCAAAGCUUGCAUCAACGUAACCCUUUACGACGAACUCUUUAACCACCUCCAUAAUUGAGAAAAAAUUCCUUAGUCCAUUAGUUACUAAGGAUAAAUUUUGACCGCUGCUAGUGAUUCAAUGAUGGAUCACUCUCUGUACCUCUCAACAGACUUUGAGUCAAGGCACACAGGGGAUAGGUACACAGCAUGGCAUACUUUAGAUUCUACGGCUAAGGCAUAGAAGACGACCUUUCGUCUAUUCUCUUUAUUCUGCCGUGGCGGGUUUUGAGUCUUACUCAAAUUCACACCUCACAACGCAACCAAGAACUCUUUCUUCGCUGAUCUAUUUUGAACUCCUUCAAAAACUUGUCAAGGCAUGCGAUUUUAUUGAAACUUUCAUUAAGCGCUUUUGAUCUAUCUCCAUAGAUCUUUGAUGCUCAACGUUCAAGUAGCGCAAUCCAGGUAUUCCUUUGAAAACUCCAUUCAAACAACCUUAUAUGCUUUACAGAGAUUCUACAUCACUUCUGAUCCACAAUAUGUCAACCACAUAUACUUAUCAGAAAUUCUAUAGUGCUCCCACUCACUUCUUUGGAAAUACAAGUUUCUCAUAAACCUUGUACACACCCAAAAUCUUUGAUCAUCUCAUCAAAGUGUAUAUUCCAACUCCGAGAUGCUUGCACCAGUCCAUUGAAGGAUCACUAGAGCUUGCAUACUUGCUAGUAUCUUUAGGAUCGACAAAACCUUCUGGUUGUAUCACAUACAAUGUUUGCUCAAGGAAACCGUCGAGGAAACAAUGUUUUGACAUCCUACGUGCAAUAUUUCAUAAAUAAUGCAUCAACAACUAACAUAAUUCUAACAGACUUUUAGCAUCGCUAUGAGUGAGAAAGUCUCAUCAUAGUCAACUGUUUGAUCUUGUCGAAAACAUCUUUGCGACAAGUCGAGCUUUUCUUAAUAGUGAUUUAUCACCAUCAUCGUCUGUUUUCCUUUAAAGAUUCAUCUUUACUCAAUAGUCCUCUGACCAUCAAGUAGUUCUUCCAAAGUCUACACUUUGUUUUCAUACAUGGAUUCUCUCUCGGAUUUCAUGGCUUCCAGCCAUUUGUCGGAAUCCGGGCCCACCAUCGCUAUCUCCAUAACUCGUAGGUUCACUGUUGCUCGACAACGUGACCUCCAAGACAGGGUUACCGUACCACUCUGUAGUAGUACGCGACCUUGUCAACCUACGAGACUUGUAGUAACUUGAUCCGAUGCUCGAUGAUCACCAUCAUCAGCUUCCACUUCAAUUGGUGUAGGCGCCACAGGAACAACUUCCUGCACCCUGCUACACACUGGUUGAAGUGAUGGUUCAAUAACCUCAUCAAGUUCUACUACCCUCCCACUCAAUUCUUUCGAGAGAAACCUUUCCUCGAGAAAGGAUCCGUUUCUAGAAACAAACACUUUGCUUUCGGAUCUGAGAUAGGAGAUGUACCCAACUGUUUUGGAUAUCCUAUGAAGAUGCAUUUANNNNNNNNNNNNNNNNNNNNNNNNNNNNNNNNNNNNNNNNNNNNNNNNNNNNNNNNNNNNNNNNNNNNNNNNNNNNNNNNNNNNNNNNNNNNNNNNNNNNACGUACAGUUCGACGAUGAUCUCGGCCUUCUUGAUCCAGCAAGAGAGACGGAGAGGUAGAAGAGUUCUCCGGCAGCGUGACGGCGCUCCGGAGGUUGGUGAUGAUCUCGUCUCAGCAGGGCUCCGCCCGAGCUCCGCAGAAACGCGAUCUAGAGGAAAAACUAUGGAGGUAUGUGGUCGGGCAGCCGUGAGAAAGUCGUCUCAAAUCUGCCCUAAAAGCCCCAUAUAUAUAGGAGGAGGGAGGGGGACCUUGCCUUGGGGUCCAAGGAACCCUCAAGGGGUCGGCCGAGCCAAGGGGGGAGGACUCCCCCCCCCAAACCGAGUUGGACUUGGUUUGGUGGGAGGAGUCCCCCUCCCUUCCCACUUCCUCCCUCUUUUUUUUCUUUUCCUUUGAUUUCCUUCUCUUGGCGCAUAGGCCCCCUUGGGGCUGUCCCACCAGCCCACUAAGGGCUGGUGUGUCUCCCCRAAGCCUAUGGGCUUCCCCGGGGUGGGUUCCCCCCCCCCCCCCGGUGAACUCCCGGAACCCAUUCGUCAUUCCCGGUACAUUCCCGGUAACUCCGAAAACCUUCCGGUAAUCAAAUGAGGUCAUCCUAUAUAUCAAUCUUCGUUUCCGGACCAUUCCGGAAACCCUCGUGACGUCCGUGAUCUCAUCCGGGACUCCGAACAACAUUCGGUAACCAACCAUAUAACUCAAAUACGCAUAAAACAACUGUCGAACCUUAAGUGUGCAGACCCUGCGGGUUCGAGAACUAUGUAGACAUGACCCGAGAGACUCCUCGGUCAAUAUCCAAUAGCGGGACCUGGAUGCCCAUAUUGGAUCCUACAUAUUCUACGAAGAUCUUAUCGUUUGAACCUCAGUGCCAAGGAUUCAUAUAAUCCUGUAUGUCAUUCCCUUUGUCCUUCGGUAUGUUACUUGCCCGAGAUUCGAUCGUCAGUAUCCGCAUACCUAUUUCAAUCUCGUUUACUGGCAAGUCUCUUUACUCGUUCCGUAAUACAAGAUCCCGCAACUUACACUAAGUUACAUUGCUUGCAAUUCUUGUGUGUGAUGUUGUAUUACCGAGUGGGCCCCGAGAUACCUCUCCGUCACACGGAGUGACAAAUCCCAGUCUUGAUCCAUACUAACUCAACUAACACCUUCGGAGAUACCUGUAGAGCAUCUUUAUAGUCACCCAGUUACGUUGCGACGUUUGAUACACACAAAGCAUUCCUCCGGUGUCAGUGAGUUAUAUGAUCUCAUGGUCAUAGGAAUAAAUACUUGACACGCAGAAAACAGUAGCAACAAAAUGACACGAUCAACAUGCUACGUCUAUUAGUUUGGGUCUAGUCCAUCACAUGAUUCUCCUAAUGAUGUGAUCCCGUUAUCACGUGACAACACUUGUCUAUGGCCAGGAAACCUUGACCAUCUUUGAUCAACGAGCUAGUCAACUAGAGGCUUACUAGGGACAGUGUUUUGUCUAUGUAUCCACACAAGUAUUGUGUUUCCAAUCAAUACAAUUAUAGCAUGGAUAAUAAACGAUUAUCAUGAACUAAGAAAUAUAAUAAUAACUAAUUUAUUAUUGCCUCUAGGGCAUAUUUCCAACACCAACAUAAGAGGGUGUUGCGUCAGAUGGAGGAGCGCGCCCGCGCUGUGCCAUCGUCGCCACCAGCAUCCAUGGGCGGCUCCGCCCAAAACAGCGGUAAACCCCGUCGUCUAUGCCCGCGUGCUGCUUUCGGAGGAUGUCGCCACCUCCAGCAAAAGAGGAUGUUGCGCCUGGAGGAGCGUCCGUGCUGCGCCACCGCCACCAUCAGCACUGCCCGCGCCGACGCAACCCGACCUCAUCACUAACGACGAGGACGCUAGGGUGUUUAUUUUUUGUUUAAUUAUAAUGUAAUUUGAACGCGUGGACGCUCGCCGGCCUCCGUGGCCGGCUUUUAAUGUUUAAUUAAUUAAUGUUUAUUAUUUUUAAAAAUGCUUUUUUGAUGCGCCGGUAAAAAAAAAAGUUUGGCCGGCGUUAGACGCAUACGCCGACCCAAACAUGGAAAGGGACGUUGGUGUCCACCGAGCCGAUCCAUUAUUGGUUUGCCCACUGCCCAGCGCCAUUGCUCCUUUUCCUCAGCCACCAAACACCAAUCGCUCAGCUGCUUUUCUCUUUAGCCAACCUAGCUAGCUUCUUCACCGGAUCCGGAGAGCAGAGCAGAUCCAGAGAGAGCAGAGCGGGCGGCGGGGAGAGAGAUGGCGGGGGUGAGCGUUGGGACGGGGGCGAUGAAUUCCCUCCUCGGCAAGCUCACCGCCCUGCUCGGCGACGAGUACAAUCUGCUCAAGAGGGUCCGCAAGGAGAUCGAGUUCCUCAAGCGCGAGCUCGGCAGGAUGCAGGUCCUGCUGGAGAAACUGGCAGACAUGGAGGCGAGGCUCGACGGCCUUGGCAAGAGCUGGGGGGACAGCGUGCGCGACCUCAGCUACGACAUGGAAGACUGCAUCGACCGCUUCAUGGACCGGCUUGGCAGAGACGACGCCAAGCCAAAGUUCAUGAAGAGGACGGCGCGCCGGCUCAAGACUCUAUGGGCGCGCCAUGACAUCGCGACCCAGAUCAAGGAGCUCAAGGCUCGCGUCAUGGAGGAAAGCGAGCGUCGUGACAGGUACAAGCUUCCUACGUAUUCUUGCAUCUGUAUUCUGGAUGAUGCAGCAUGGGAUUAAUUAAGUCUUGUUUGUCCAAAAAAUGAUACUAGGUACAAGCUUGAUGAGAGCUACUAUAGUGCAACGAGGCCGGUGCAGAUCGACCCGCGGAUAACUGCGAUCCACGAGGAGGUCAAGGGCUUGGUGGCAAUGGACGGCCCAAUGAAGCACCUCGCUGCCUUGCUGAUGGAUGAGAGUAAGGAGUUGAAAGUGGUGCCGAUUGUCGGAUCAGGAGGGUUGGGGAAGACAACCCUAGCCAUGGAGGUCUAUCGCAAGAUUGAAUCAGGAGGGAACUUCCAAUGCCAAGCUUGUGUGUCAGUGUCACGCACACUUGAUCUGGUGAAGCUCCUGAAAGAUAUCUUGUCUCAAAUUGAUAAAGAUGCGUACAAAGAAUGUCAGAGUUGGGAAAAGGAACAACUAAUCCGUGAAAUCAAACAGAUCUUGACAGGAAAGAGGUGCGGAGUAUAUAGAUGGUUUAUUUUGUUUUACUAUGCCUCCUCUGUAUACAAGCACCUAGCAUUAACUGAUUCAUAUAUUUGGAUGACAGGAACAAGUAUUAUUAUUUUAAGUUACCAAGGCUAGAUCAAAUGGUUAUCUCUAGCCGUAUUGAGUAUGUUUAGUUUCUUGAACAUCUAGGCUUUCUUUCACACACAAAAAAAACAUCUAGAUUUUUUCGCAUUACCUCAAACAUUUUUUUUGAUAACCUUUUUUCGAGAAAACGCAAAAGAAUUUGCGUUUCAUUGCAUUGAACAGGAAGAAGACAUCGGGGAUACAACCUCCAGAAAGGAAGGACACACACAGACACACACACGCACACACACACACGACCGUCCUCACCAAGCGACUACAACUAGGUAAGGAGGUGCCCUCAGCUACAGACACACAACGAUAUUAGGCCUCGCCCUGCCGCCAUUGCAAGACACCUCUAGGAACAAUUGCAGCUCCAGGACUGCCCAGGCCAACGUACCUCACACCCAUGUGCCUAGGAUCGGCGGGUGAAAGGCAGGGCCUGAUUGGAACUGGUGUAGCAAUCGUUGGGGGAGGGCCGGCGCUGGCAAACAACCUGCUCCCUGUUCAGCCGUCUACGCCAACGGUGCAUCACCAGCCACCAUCUGCCGCAUCAAGUACUCCGCUUGCAGCCAAAGCAGCGCCCUCAAGAGGGUAACGGCGUUGAGACGCCGCCGCUGCCCGGUCCAGGAGGCCGGACCUAGGAUUUCUCUCGGUGCUCGAGGAGGAGGUCCGGUCAAGGGUCAUGCCAACGCCUCCAAGGAGGUGACGGCACCCUCGGGUGUCGCCGUUGACAGCGCAGGCCGACGCUGCGCGGGGAUUUCGCCCCGACCCAUGAGCAAGGACCUCAGAUGCAGAUGCAGACCGGACAUGACGAAGAACGUUGGAGAAGAUGGAAGCACAUGGAGCGGGAAGCCUAGGAACGUCGGUAGUCGCAGGUUUGGGCACGGCCAGCGCAGCGCCAGCAGGCCGGCCACCACCGGGAGCGCGUCCAGCAGGCGACAACAAUCACCUGCACCGCGCCGGCCCGCAGCCUCCGCCGCCGGGAUUCGCCGUGGCACAGCAUCGCAGCAACCGUCAGGGUCACCGUGCGCGUGCACAACCCAGCGGCAACCACCGGCGGCGGCUGGGAGGGGUGGGAGGAGGGAGAAGGGUGGGUGGGGGGCAGAGUGGUUGACUCGGGCCAAGGCGGGCCCGCACGGCCCAGAUCUGGGCGCCCCCAGCUCUACCGCUCGCUGCAGCGGCCGGCAGCCGCCGUAGCAGCGCCUCCGCGCACACGCACCGCGCCAUCUCGACCUCUCCUGCUGUUAAUGACAAAUCCUCACUUAUCUUAGCYUCUAUUAGUUUGAUUGAUGCAAGAAAGUUCCUCCCUCCCAUCCAUAUUAAUUGUCAUUGAUUUAGUACAAAGUUAAUACUAAAUCAGCGACAAUUAAUAUGGAUCGGAUGGAGUACCAAAAUUUAAAUAGGAAAUAUUUAUGUAUCUAUUUGCAUAUAUCAAAUCAAGUUCUAGCAAAAGUCAUCUCAAUAAUGUUCGUGCUUAACAAUACACAAUCUUGAGUGCAGGUACUUCAUUGUUAUCGAUGAUGUAUGGAAAGAACAAGACUGGAAAUUGGUCAAGGCAGCAUUUCCUGAGAAUAAUAAUGGUAGCAGAAUAAUUGCUACGACACGCAUUACCGGUGUAGCUAAUCAGUGUUGUUCCAACUCCGUCAGUCAACCCUAUCAAAUGGAACCUCUAGAUGAUGUUGAUUCUCGAAGAUUGUUCUUUAAGAGAAUAUUCCGGAUGGAUGAUCCCUGCCCUGUUGAACUGGAAGAAAUUUCAACUAAGAUCUUACAAAAAUGUGGUGGUCUUCCACUAGCUAUAAUUACAUUUGCAAGUUUGCUUGCCAAUAAAACGCAUAAGAAGGAAGAAUGGGAGAGACUGCAAGAAUCCAUUGGUACUGGUCCUUCGUUUGAUAGUGAUGGGAACUUAAAAGGGAUGAAAGAUAUACUGUUACUUAGUUACUGGGAUCUUCCACACCACCUGAAGACUUGUUUAUUAUAUUUGUGUAUAUAUCCAGAGGACUCCAUGAUCGAUACUAAACUGCUGAAAUGGAAAUGGAUAGCAGAAGGAUUCAUUGCUUCACAAUGGGGAAGUUUGGAUCAAGUAGCAGAGAACUGUUUUAAUGAACUCGUUAAUAGAAAUAUGAUUCAGCCAGUUUAUGGUAAUGAUUACAGUUCGGUGAAAUAUUGUAGGGUCCAUGAUAUGGUGCUUGACCUUAUCAUAUCCUUAUCAGAUGAAGAGAAUUUUGCCACUGUUUUAAAUGGGCGUAUAUGNNNNNNNNNNNNNNNNNNNNNNNNNNNNNNNNNNNNNNNNNNNNNNNNNNNNNNNNNNNNNNNNNNNNNNNNNNNNNNNNNNNNNNNNNNNNNNNNNNNNCCUCGAUAAAGUUGGCUUUGCCAAGGGUUCAUGCCGAACACCCUUAGCUGAAAACUACACUCGACAAACUCUAUGUUGAGUGGGAAACGACUUCUGUCGAGUUUUUCUGAUAUUCAGGAAAUUCGAAAUAUUCAGUAUUCAUUGUUGGAAUUUUGAUGGAAAUAGUUGGCACCCAUGCAAGUUGUUCACAAAACAGGGUUGUUCAUGCCCUUACUGCUAAUGGUAAAUGUACUCCUCGCGCUACGGUGUAUGCCAGACUCUCAUCCUUUAAGAAAUAAAGUCUCUUUUCCCUAGAAAAAAAUAAAUAAAUGUGUAAGAGCUAAUAAGAGCACCUGUUGUUGUCAGGCAGAGUGUUUAUGCAAGGCACACAGGGGGUAGACGAUGUCUUUUUUUUUUCUAACUUAGAAGCUGUGUUUAAUUAUCCAAUGAUUUAACACGCUACCUCUCAACCCUUCUUUUCACAUGAAAGAUAAGAAGUAAAAAUUAAUCAGACCACUAACUUAAUCAAACCAGUGGCUUUUAUGCAGCGCGCGCAAACAGAUUGUUCUUUUACCGGAGCUGGCCGAAACUUAUGAGUUCUUGAUCCAACGGUAACACCUUACGUGUGAUUAAUAGUCGAAUGAUCCUGACAGCUGCGCGUGCCGGACUGUCAGUGGAAGUAAACUAAUGCACCGCCCCAUGCUUUCUUGCAUUGCUUUAGUACUCCAAAUGUUAAUUAAACCCGACACAGACACGUUACUCUAAGCCGCAUCUGAGACUAAUUUUCUCUCCUCCCAUUCCCAACUCCCAAGGUCGCAUCUGAGCCUUAGCUUAGUGCCCAGCGCCAUUGCUUCUCCNNNNNNNNNNNNNNNNNNNNNNNNNNNNNNNNNNNNNNNNNNNNNNNNNNNNNNNNNNNNNNNNNNNNNNNNNNNNNNNNNNNNNNNNNNNNNNNNNNNNUACUGAUAGAGCAAAUAGAUAAGAAAAGGGGGGGGGGGGGGGGCUGGGGGACAUAGUAUUCCUACAGACUUGACCAAUACUCGAACAGUCUGAUUUACUUUCCUAUUUGGACCAUACUCUUUCUCAAUCGAAAAUGUAUGUACUAAUAGCUUGAUUGCUGAUAGUUAAAACACAACGCCAUUGUGGUCCUCUCUUUUUUAUGCGUUACCAUUUGUUUCUUCCAUAGAGAAGUUUUAACUCCUAAAAUUGGCUCAGUUUAGGUUCUAAUCUCAGACUAUACCAGAAAAGACAGUCCCGACUGCUGAAAUAGUACUUCAUUUUACCCCGACCCAAACCACAACUGUUUUAUGAACGUCACUCCUUUCUAUGGACAAAGGUUUUUUAUUCUAAACAUGUCCUCAAGGUGAUGCAACCAAUCGAUUAGAAUUCAGACCUUAACGUCAACAUCAGAUUCAAAUCAGGCAGUUUUCUCUCGUCUGGAUAGCUGCGUGUGCGAUCAGUGGCGAAUCUAGUAGGGGGGCUUCGACAGGUUCGAGCCCCCCUUCAAAAAAUUGGAAAAAGAAAAUUUACUACUGUACUAUAAAUUUUGUUGACCUUAUUUAGACAAAAAAAAUCAAGGGUUUUUUACUUUUUAGAUACAUAUUUGACUUUGAACCUUCCCUUCAUUUUCUUCCAACAUUCGGCACUGUGUGCGACAACACAUGAGUGAGCAAAGCUGCAGGGCUCCAUGUACACGUAGGAUAGAGAACAUAGGAUACGUGGAGAAAAUACGGGUCCCACAAAAAAAAUAGAUGACAUGUAGCCAUGACAUCGCAUGAAACAUUAUGGUUGUCAAUAGUUGAUGUUUGUGUUUUUAGUGGUAGUAUUGUGGUUUCAGAUUGAAACUCAAGCCUAACACUAGUCUAGCGGGGGGUAAAGUAAACUUAAUUUCUUUCUUCUAUGAAUAACAAGUUAUAUAAUCCCUCGAUGUGCUUCAUAUACUUUUGUUUUCAUUUACACUGGGGAAGCAAUGAGUUAGUACCUCUAUUAGUUUGAUUGAUGCAAGAAAGUUCCUCCCUCCCAUCCAUAUUAAUUGUCAUUGAUUUAGUACAAAGUUAAUACUAAAUCAGCGACAAUUAAUAUGGAUCGGAUGGAGUACCAAAAUUUAAAUAGGAAAUAUUUAUGUAUCUAUUUGCAUAUAUCAAAUCAAGUUCUAGCAAAAGUCAUCUCAAUAAUGUUCGUGCUUAACAAUACACAAUCUUGAGUGCAGGUACUUCAUUGUUAUCGAUGAUGUAUGGAAAGAACAAGACUGGAAAUUGGUCAAGGCAGCAUUUCCUGAGAAUAAUAAUGGUAGCAGAAUAAUUGCUACGACACGCAUUACCGGUGUAGCUAAUCAGUGUUGUUCCAACUCCGUCAGUCANNNNNNNNNNNNNNNNNNNNNNNNNNNNNNNNNNNNNNNNNNNNNNNNNNNNNNNNNNNNNNNNNNNNNNNNNNNNNNNNNNNNNNNNNNNNNNNNNNNNGUUCAGGGUGAGCGGGUACGUCCUAGGAACGGUAGCUUGGAUGGUUAGGGAUUUUGGGUAAGUUUCACUUUUUCUAACGUACUUGUUAAUUUCAGUAGAUUCUAGUAUUAAUGCCUACUUUGAUUAGUCAUUCUGCUGCAGUAGCCAUCUUGUAUUGUAUUUUGAAAAAUCCAUCUUGUAUUGUAGCCAUUUUGUACUGUAACACUUCUCUUGUCUUUUUUCGGUAGGCAAACUUGCAUCUGUUUUUCCUUUGCUUGGCAAAUAGAUACACCUGCAUCUUUGAGUCGCUUCAUGGCUGUAAUCAAGUCCUAUCCUAAGUUUCACGGUUGGCAAGGAAGUGGCUAAUACCUUAAACCUGUCUCCAGACACAGAAGCAACUGCGGCAGCAAGGAAUAAAGACGUUGUAGCUUCUAAUCCUACCAUUCGAAAUGGCACAAUUUUGCCAAACCAAUGCUUUCCAGCUCCGGUCAUUAAACCCAGUGUUACCAAUGUUGCUAAUUCGAGAGCAAUAGGCACACCGGUGUCUCCAUUGCCAGGUGUUAUGGCUCCAAUUCAUACCGGAAUAUCAACUGAAUUAUCAUCUAAGGUAUAUUCAUCUAUUGUUGUUUAGAUCCGAUAGAAAAUCUUGAUUAUGACUGUAUUUUGCACCCAACAAACCCAAUUCCUAGUGUUUCUUGUGAGGUUGUAAUUAUUGUUAUUACUACAACAGUAUGUGUUAAGACCAUUUCUGGUUACAGAGAUUGAUUUUUUUUUUUAAUUUCUCCAUGUCAGGAUGAGAGGGAAGUAAAGCGUGAAAAGAGAAAGCAAUCAAAUAGGGAAUCUGCUAGACGGUCGAGGCUGAGAAAGCAGGUAUAUUGUGUUGGCCUCCUUUUCCUAUUAACUCAUAGGCUCUCUUGUAUGUACUCUUUGAUAAAUGUGUUGCAAUGUAGCAAUAUCCGAUCCUCGAAAAGGGAAAGCAGUAUCUGGAAACAUGGACAUGAAGCCGAAUUGAAUUUUCUCCCAUAUUUAUUUGCAUCUUAGUACAGUGAUACUGGGACGCAGUACGCCAAUUGAUAUUUGUGUCCUCUUUGUGUAGGCCGAGACAGAGGAGUUGGCUACACAAGUAGAAUCGCUUACAGCUGAGAACACAUCUCUAAAAUCUGAGAUCGGCAAGCUAGCAAAAAGCUCUGAGAAGCUCAGAUUAGANNNNNNNNNNNNNNNNNNNNNNNNNNNNNNNNNNNNNNNNNNNNNNNNNNNNNNNNNNNNNNNNNNNNNNNNNNNNNNNNNNNNNNNNNNNNNNNNNNNNGCGUUGCGUGCGGCCCGACGCUCGGCCGUCGGUUUCGGUGUCGGAGGCCGUGCUCUCGGUGAUGGCAGAUACUAUUAGGUAGUACUAGGUUAGCUAAGUUUUUUUUACCCGACAAAAAAAAAAAAAUAGUUAGUAUUAGUAGCAUUUAAUAGAGGUAUGUAUGUAUACAGGCAAGGGCCGCCGGCCGUUCGAGAUUGGUUGGGGGAAUCAACCUGCUGCGUUAGUAUUAGGCUGUGCGGUUGCAAGCAGACCCGACAGUGCUGCUGCUUCUUCUCUGGGUUGUUCCGUGCGCGCUUGAAACUGGGGGAGUGGUCUCAUCUCAUCGCUUAUUUGUCCUUGUUGUUUUCUGUAGGAUUUUCUGGACUUCUUUUGCAUUGUCGAUCCUACGUCCCAUCGUGCCUUAUCCGUCGAGCUUCUUUUGUCGUCGGUUGUCGUGGACUAUGAUUUUCUGCACAAUGCUUUAUUCUCUUGAUGUGCCAUCUUAUUUUGACAAUCCAUCUUCUCCUGAAACUUAUGUUGUAUCUUCAAGUGAUGCGGUGUCUUUCUUUGAUGUGCCAUCUUCUUUUGACAACCCAUCUUCUCUUGAUACUUAUCUUGUAUCUUCAAGUGAUGCGGUGUCUACCUCUGAUGUGCCAUCUCUUCGUUCUCUCCUUCGGCGACUCGACAAAUUUUGAAGACUCUUCAUGCUACGACGACACUCUCAAGACGCGGAUUUGGAUUAUCAUUGUUUUUUAGUAUUACACUUCUUCAAAUGCAAUGCUAUUGCAUGCGCUUUGCAUUUGAGGGGGGUGUUAGAAAGUAUUAGUAUUAGUCUAGGAGUCCUUAUUAGUCUAUGUUUACUUUCCUUGCACCUCAAGUCAUGUAUAAUAUAUAUAUGCCCCUUGAGCCUUGAAUACAGAUAAGUUGCUUUCUUAACAUGGAACAUUUUUUUUCUGCAAGCGUUGGAGGUUCUCUUUCUUCCAUUCCACCGACGCCGUGCAGCAAAAAGUUACGAAGAAGAUGAAGCAUACCUGAUGGAAGCACUAUCAGGGACUUUUGCUCCCACGCAGUUGCAAUUAUCUGCAAUGGACUUGCAUGUAUUAUUACUGACGGGCCUCCUUGAUUAUUUCACCAAUAAAGUACAAUUAUCUAAUCAUGUGUGCACGGGAUUGGCUUAUACUUUUCUUAUGGUACAGUACUAGAUCUUAUGAUGAAGCCAGUUUCACAUGUACUGGUAUCGUGAUGAGCAGAAGUUUUAUUCUCUAAUAUUUGUGUCUUACUAGUAUUCGGAUGAGCAAAAGAUUAAAAUCAAACUUGCGUAUGUAGAAGGCAGGCGCUUGAUUGUUGCUUGUAUCUGUGUGGUUUCUUGGUUUACAUGUUGACUCUCUCCUGCUCAAUGUCAUUGUAAGCUGGGACCAUCUUAGGCUACAGCUGAUAUAUUUUUGUUUUUUGCUAUAAUGAAAAAACACGGCCGUGUAUUUUUUUGUUUGAGAAUAUAUAGUAUGAAAUUUAUUUCUUUGCGUGCGAUUGAUUACGGCUUCUCAGCAGGUCAUUAAGCUCGCUCAAGUCAGACUGACAAGCGUAACAUCUUCAGCCAUGUUUUAUUUAUUUAAUUAAGAAGGUUUGGUUGCUUUAGUAAAUUCAUUUCUUUCACCCAUUUGAAAUUUGAUAUCUUGCACAUUUGCAUUUACUGUUACUUCAUUUAUUCUCGUGAAAGGGAAAGUAAGCAAAGUUUAAAUUCUAUUUUCCUGUGUACAUUUAGGUGACGUUAAAAGGUAUACUCUGUUUUUAUUGAUUGAUGUCCAUUUGUUUAAUGGACACAUAAAGAUUGCACAUAUAUACUACCUCUGUAAAGUAAUAUAAGAUGUUUUAGAUCACUAAAUAUAUUACUUUACGGAGGGAGUACUAUUAUUGAGUCCUUUGCACAAACAUUUGGCCUGGAUUUUUACACAUUCCGUAACUAGUCACAGGGAACGGCAGUGGGUAGCAUCGGCAGUCACAGUCACAGGGGUGCUGCAUCAUGUUCAGUCGCGGUGCAUUGUUGUGCUGACUGUUGUGCGCCUCCUCCAUUGUCGCCCUGGGAUUAUUCCAACUCUUACGAACAGCGAGGGACCUGGUAAAUACUGAGCAAGUAACCAAUCCAAUCAAUGGGACAAUGUGCUGCGCUGAGCAACUAACCAAUCCAAUCUAGGGACAAAUGCCAAGAAGCUCAUGCGGCUCUGAUCGAUUGGAUGGCAGCCUACCCGCUCUCGGUGCAGGGGCAGAGUUCGACGAAAUUCAGCUGAGAUCACAUCUUGAUGCUGCUCUCUACAAGAGUACAUCACCUAGAUUUUGGUCGAGACCACAAGAAUGUGCAGCCACAGAUCGGCACCAAUGUUUGAUUAUGUCAACUUACCACAAGAUUGCAUUGAUCGAUUUCCCUGAGUGAAUAACCCAAGUUUGUCAGUCACAGGCGGCGCAACGGCAUGAUGACUCUGAACUUUUCCAAAACCAAAUGAUACAUAGCACUGAACUUUUGCCAACCAACACGUAUACUACACACGAUGGGCACCAAUGUCUGAAUUUUGACGGGGUUCAACUUACCACAAGAAUUCCAUUGAUUCGAUUUACCCUGAACUGAAUAACCCAAGUAUCCCGAAUGUAUCGACGCAACUAAAUGAAUAGACAGAGAACUAGAUAAACUCUGUAACGUUUUACCAAAAAACCUAAAAUCGACUACAUAGNNNNNNNNNNNNNNNNNNNNNNNNNNNNNNNNNNNNNNNNNNNNNNNNNNNNNNNNNNNNNNNNNNNNNNNNNNNNNNNNNNNNNNNNNNNNNNNNNNNNAUGAGAUCGUCGAGGUUCCGUCUGCUGNUCCCGGCCAGACGCGUAUCCCCCGCCAGCGCUCGUCGGCCGGCGACUCGGGCGGGAUAGGCGUCUCCCGGCCGCGUGCGGUUCCACGGGGUCGGCCGCCGCCGCCGCCGCCGCCGCCGCCAUGGCUUGCAACAGGCAGCAGCGGUAGGGCAGUGUGGGGGAUUGCGAACGUCGAGGGAGACGGAGGGCAUAAAAGGGAAGGCCCAGCCCAUUCCUCUCAUUCGCAAUGGACGAGCCAUUUUCACCAUGGCCCAGCCACUGUGGUGUUGGCCCAUACUUGUUUUUUCUUUUUUGGUUUGUGUAGUUCAGAAUUUUUUCUUUGAAUGAAAGGAGUUUUCUCCCUGCCCCAUUUUGUUAAAAUGAAGCAACAUUGUCUUACAUACCCUUAAAAGCCACUAAAGAAGAACUAAACAAAUCAUAGCCUUUCAAAAGGCCAGCACUUGAAAGGUUAAAAACAAACAAACCACAAACUGGUAAGAAACUAUGGAGCACCGACACAUAAGGAGCCUUAUAAUGCUUUUAUUACAGACCAAAGAAGGAAAAACGAGAGAUGACUACUCGGCUCCCCGAUGGUCUCCCAGCAUCAUCUCCACGCGAUCUGAAGCAACUCUCCACGCCUCUUGUUUUGCAGCCUGAUAUAGUCUCGCAGAAGAACUGCCUCAGCAUCAGUGAAUAGUAUUUUCCAUUGAUUCAGGUAAACGUCCAGCUUGGCAAGAAUGCAUUUUACACUUCUCCAAGAUCGGCCCUGAAAGCAAAAUUCAUUCCUCAGUUUCCAAAUGCUCCACAAGGAGGCAACAAUCAUCAUGUUUAGUACAACAUUAGUCUUAGGACUACCCCACAACAAAAUAACAUCAUCAAAGCUUGAAAUUUCUGGCUUGUUAAACACCUCAGUGAUAAAUCCCCAAGGUUGUUUAGCAACCCAACAGUCAAAGAACAGGUGUUGCAUUGAUUCUUUACAGCUACAAAAGAUACAAGUAGGAUCUUCCAUCGGUCUACGUUUUUCAACGUUAUCUCUAGUUAAAACUUUAUUAUAUACACACAACCAUCAAAAAUAUGUAUUUUUUGUGGACAGACCACCUUCCAAAGACUAUCACUAAUGGUAGAUACCACACCCCCAAAAUUAAUUUGCUUAUAGAAAGACUUAACCGAGUAAAUGCCAUUCGACUCCAGUUUUUAGACAGGAGAAUCAGGUUCUCUUGAGAGAGGGGUUUGUUUCACCACCUCAACAAGUUGAUCCCAAAGUGUUAACCUUCCCUAAUCCAGACAUCUUUGGAAUGUCAGUCUGAGGACCAUCCCAUCCCAAACUUGAUCCACUGUACAAUCUGUCUGAUUACAGAUUUUGAUUAAUUUCCAAAAUUGUAUCUUAAAGGAACAUUCUCGAGCCCACACAUCAUGCCAAAAAGUAAUCUAUUCCCCAUUCCCCAUCUUCCACUUAUAAAAUACUUCUGCUCCAGAUAGAGUCGAGGUGAUGCUCUUCCAAAAGGUUGAGCCAUGCAUUCCCACCACCACACCAAAGAAUAUUUGAAGAAUUAACAUUGUAUUUAUGACUGACAUUUUUUUCCAAUCUCUAGCCGACUCGUCCAUGAAUCGUUUCCCCCAUGAGGCCAACAAAGCCAUAUUAAACUCCUUGACGUUAGGAAGCUGUAACCCUCCAAAUUCUUUCUUUCUAAGAUUUGCCCCCACCUGGCCAAGUGAUAUUUGUGUUUGUCAUCCAAAUNNNNNNNNNNNNNNNNNNNNNNNNNNNNNNNNNNNNNNNNNNNNNNNNNNNNNNNNNNNNNNNNNNNNNNNNNNNNNNNNNNNNNNNNNNNNNNNNNNNNGUAGCAAUGAAUCCUUCUGCUAUCCAUUUCCAUUUCAGCAGUUUAAUCUUGAUCAUGGAGUCCUCUGGAUAUAUACACAAGUAUAAUAAACAAGUCUUCAGGUGGUGUGGAAGAUCCCAGUAACUAAGUAACAAUAUAUCUUUCAUCCCUUUUAAGUUCCCAUCACUAUCAAACGAAGGACCAGUACCAAUGGAUUCUUGCAGUCUCUCCCAUUCUUCCUUCUUAUGCGUUUUAUUGGCAAGCAAACUUGCAAAUGUAAUUAUAGCUAGUGGAAGACCACCACAUUUUUGUAAGAUCUUAGUUGAAAUUUCUUCCAGUUCAACAGGGCAGGGAUCAUCCAUCCGGAAUAUUCUCUUAAAGAACAAUCUUCGAGAAUCAACAUCAUCUAGAGGUUCCAUUUGAUAGGGUUGACUGACGGAGUUGGAACAACACUGAUUAGCUACACCGGUAAUGCGUGUCGUAGCAAUUAUUCUGCUACCAUUAUUAUUCUCAGGAAAUGCUGCCUUGACCAAUUUCCAGUCUUGUUCUUUCCAUACAUCAUCGAUAACAAUGAAGUACCUGCACUCAAGAUUGUGUAUUGUUAAGCACGAACAUUAUUGAGAUGACUUUUGCUAGAACUUGAUUUGAUAUAUGCAAAUAGAUACAUAAAUACUUCCUAUUUACAUUUUGGUACUCCAUCCGAUCCAUAUUAAUUUCCUAUUUAAGCUAGUGUGAGGCUUGAGUUUCAAUCUUCAACCCCAAUACUACCACUAAAAACACAAACAUCAACUAUUGACAAUCAUAAUGUUUCAUGUGAUGUCAUGGCUACAUGUCWAUCUUUUUUUUUUGUGGGACCCAUAUUUUGUCCAUGUAUCCUUUAUUUUCUAUUGUCCUAUGUGUACACGGAGCCCUGCCGCCUUGCCCACUCAUGUAUUGUCGCACACGCAGCUAUCCAGACAAGAGAAAAUUGCCCUGAUUUGAAUCUGAUGUAUCCCCCAGCCACCCCCCCCCCCCUUAUUUAUUUGCUCUAUCAUUAGUUCAUUACAUGGAGGGUUGAACUGAAGUGAACUUUUUUUAUGUUUGCAUGUUUAUAUGAAGCUAAGAUGAGUGAGGGUUUGUCAUCAACAUUUAGUGGGUAUGCUAGUUUGAGGUUAUAGAAAAAAGAGUGUGACGUAAUUAAUGCGAAAAAAUCCAGAUUUUUAUUUUACAAAAAAAAUAUAUAUCUAGCACCCUCCCGCCUCCCCUACCCACCCUGGCCCCCACCCUCCCCGGAGUCAUGGCCCCCGUCGACGCCGGCUGCGGCACGAGCCGCCACCACCGCGAGAAACGCUGGAGAGACUCGGAUAGCUCCUCCUCGGACUCGCGCUCCUACUGCGACGUGGUGCGCACUACUCCGCCUNNNNNNNNNNNNNNNNNNNNNNNNNNNNNNNNNNNNNNNNNNNNNNNNNNNNNNNNNNNNNNNNNNNNNNNNNNNNNNNNNNNNNNNNNNNNNNNNNNNNCACGAUGGGCACCAAUGUCUGAAUUUUGACGGGGUCUAACUUACCACAAGUAUUCCAUUGAUCGAUUUCCCUGACBUAAUAACCCAAGAUACCCAUGUUAUCGACGCAACUAAAGUGAUGACAGAGAACUAGAUAACUCUGAACUUUUCCAAAACCAAAUGAUACAUAGCCCUGAACUUCUGCCAACCAACACGUAUACUACACAUGAUACAUAACCGAGUUCAAGCCUGCGUAAAUCGCACGCAAACACUUACAGAGUUUUGCUAUGAAGAGAGUUAAAUAAAAUUCAGGGGUGCUGCACCAGCGACGAAUUAAAAAGUAAAAACACAUCUCGACGGCAAAUAGAUUUAGGGAAGAAAAUACUAGCCCGUACAGUAUUACAGAUAAAGCACCUUGAUUACAUCAUCUACUCAACAAAUUCGCUUCUCCCCCUAAAAAAAACAUCGCUUGUGGGAUUACCUCUCUAGGAGUACAUACUGAAUCAAAUGCUGGUGGCCGGCCAGUUGAGUGGCAGACUUGCAGCACAAUGUAUAUCGAACAUAUUCUUAUUGUGGCCGGCCAGUUGAGUGGCAGCAAUGGAUCGGGCGACCGUGUAGCUCUCCAGAUGCAUGACUUGAUUCAGCACAAUGUAUAUGGAACAUAUUCUUAUUGUUUCAGAACGAGCGGAUGAACAACACUAAUUAGAUAAGAAAACAAGGCAGCUAGUUUUGGGUGGUUGGUCUCUCCGUCAGAGGCAGACCCCUUUUUCUUUGCAUGGGUUUUUUCAAUUUUGAGACGUACUCUUCCCACUCCUUGUCAGACUUAAACAUGUCAUCCUCCAUGUUUCUGCUGACACGGAUCUCAAGGUCAGGGUUCAAUUUGAUUGCUUUCUCAACAGAACACUCCAGAAUCUCCACCAUUCCUGGAGCUACUUUGAAGCAAUUAAUUAAGACCUCGAGGUGUGCAAGGACUGAAAGAUGCUCGACACCCAAGCCUGCAAAAAAGUCUGACGCCACCCAUAUGGGGGUCAACUCAAGACGGAGCCGUCGGAGUGAUGGCACAGCACCUGGUGCGAAUGUUAGCCGCCCCUGGUGUGACGUUGCUGGUUCCUUUCCAACCAGGACCGUAGUAAGACCAAUAUUGGAAGUCAAAGAACUUUAGCAGUUUGAAUCCAUCGCUACCUAUGCUCAGCUUUUCUUUGAUGGCCCCAUCUACGCAGAGCUGAAGAUGGGCCAGAGAAGGCAUGCCCAUGAGGACACUGAGACCCUCCUUAUCAAAUUCCAUGACCGUCACGCACAACUUCACGAGAUUAUCGAGAGAGGCCAUUCCCCUGGGAACCAUUCGGAUAGGUGACUGGAUUUUAAGAACUUGGAGGCACGUGUAUGUGCAGCAUGGGUUACAGAACAGACGCUUGACUAUCUCCCAACCGGUAACAAGAUAGCGAAGGUUGCAUUUGCCCAACUCAUUUACUUCCUCCGCAAAUCUUACAGGGUCGUCAGUUUUCUUAAAGCUUAACUCCUCCAAGGCCUGCAGACUCCGAAACCCAGCUGCAGUCAAUUGUGUGUGAGUGCUGACAAAUAGGCGCACCAAUUUCUGCAACUGCACCACGGAUGAUGGCAGUCUUAGAAGUGAAUAACAGCCUGUCAAAUCUAGAGUCUCUAAGUGCUGCAGCUUUCCAAUUUCCCAAGGAAGCUCCUUAAUGUUCACACUGUCAAUUCGUAAAUACCUUAGCUGGCACGAACUUCCUAUGUGUUUUACAUGCUUGUUUUCCAACGAAUAACAUCUAGCAACAUCCAACACCCGCAGAGCAUGGAAGCCCACGAGACAGGGUAUCUGAUUAUUAUGCAGCCCAAACACAGUCAGUGAGCGAACAUGUAUCUUGGUUUCUGUAAUUGCACCAACUGCCCCUUUAUUCUCUUUGCCACUAGAUUGCAUGGACAGACGACGUAUCUUAUUUGGGAAUGAAUUGCAUAUACGCCCAUUUAAAACAGUGGCAAAAUUCUCUUCAUCUGAUAAGGAUAUGAUAAGGUCAAGCACCAUAUCAUGGACCCUACAAUAUUUCACCGAACUGUCAUCAUUACCAUAAACUGGCUGAAUCAUAUUUCUAUUAACGAGUUCAUUAAAACAGUUCUCUGCUACUUGAUCCAAACUUCCCCAUUGUGUAGCAAUGAAU
Molecule: long non-coding RNA, 79145 nt
Filed under: Hordeum vulgare
Lineage: Eukaryota; Viridiplantae; Streptophyta; Magnoliopsida; Poales; Poaceae
Description: long non-coding RNA (HVUL_LNC002386)
Source: RNAcentral